Molecule: long non-coding RNA, 62347 nt
Filed under: Gossypium barbadense (sea-island cotton)
Lineage: Eukaryota; Viridiplantae; Streptophyta; Magnoliopsida; Malvales; Malvaceae
Description: long non-coding RNA (GBAR_LNC016776)
Rfam family: MIR7502 microRNA precursor family (bases 54253-54397)
Source: RNAcentral
GUUGAUUUUCAGAAACAUUGAAGGACGAAAGAAAUGGCAGAUCUGCCAAUCUAUUUGGAAUCGUCCCAGACAACCUGUUUGAAGAUAGGUCCAACCAUUCAAGACUUGUCAAAUUCCCUAUUGAGGUGGGGAUAUCACCAAUAAGGUUAUUAUGAGAAAGGUUGAGCCCUUUCAGUAAGUUAAGCUUCCCAAUAACCUUUGGAAUACCCCUUUCAAACUGAUUGUUUGAUAGAUCAAUGAUCAUCCACAUGGUGAAAAUUUUCACCAAUUCCCUAUCUUGUCCUUUCAUAACAAUUCCAAUGGAAUAGGUAUAGAAGCCAACUCCAUAAUCAUGCACCCCCAUGUAUGACACUGUACUACCAAUCUUCUCUAGAUUUAUGAUAGCCUUGAAGCUGUUGAUGUAUCUCACUGGUAGGGGUCCAGAAAAAUAAUUACUUGAGAGAUCAAAAAUUUGGAUUUUAGAGAAAAAAGGGAUAGACUUGGAGCUAUUGACACAUAAGGAACCAUGCAGUUGAUUUGACUUCAAUACAAGAACUUGUAGCUGUGGAAGACUUCCCAACCAGUGAGGAAAUGUAUCAUUGAUCUUGUUGUUACCAAGAUCUAGCACUUCCAGACCUCUACAAUUAAGGAUGGAUGGUGUCAAAGGCCCUUCUAACAGAUUUCCAUUUAAGUUGAAAUUACUCAAUCGGCAUCCCUUUGCAAAUGCUGGAGGAAUCGUCCCAUAAUACUUGUUCUUCUUCAGAUUCAAGAAUAGAAGGCUGUUGCUCAAAUUUCCAAAACAUUGUGGAAUUGUUCCACUCAAGUUAUUGUGGGACAAAUCAAGAAUUUCAAGAAAAGCGGCAUUGCAUAUUAAAGAAGAGACCUCUCCAUUGAAACUAUUAUUUGAGAUCAAAAAGACUCUUAUGGUCGAAGCUGGAAUCGGAAGAUUUCCACUGAUCAAAUUGGAGCUUAAGUCAAGAACAUCAAUAUUCUUCCAUGGAAAGUGCUCAACUUCUGUCAAAGUGUUGUGAGAUACAUUUAAGUGAGUCAAAGAGCCAUUCCCCACCUCUCGCAUCCACUGUGGAAUCUUGCCUUCAAUUUUGUUGCAAGAGAGGUGUUGAAGUAAUGGUCAGCAUGCAGCAACCAAGACUGUCAAAGGCACUACAUGCAGAAGCUGCUGGUUCACCUAGUCAGCAAGCUGUUUAUGUUUCAUUUUGUAAUUUUAAGUUAGAGUAAUGUAACUUAGUUGCUUUAUAACUAUGUUAGGUUUAUGUUUGAUGUAAUUUUGAUGUUGACUGAGCUGAUAAAUCAGCUUUGUUUGUUUAUUCAAGCUAAUUAGCACAAGUUACUAUGUGUAUUAGUGGUAGUAGGUGAAGUUUAGGUCAACCUACUGUUUUGUCAAGAUUGUAAACUUGUUUUAUGUAUUGGCUUUGUGCCAUAUUUAGUUUGAUGAAUGAAUUCAAGAAGUUAUCAUCCAUAUGCUCUCCAUUUUUAGUUUUGCUUAAAAAUCCAUUUGAGUUUUCUGCUUUGUUUCUCCUACAAGUCACGAGACUUGCCAUACAAGCAUUCUGCUGAAGCUUGCUGCUGCUGCCUCUUGCACCAACAAUUGGUAUCUAGAGCCACAUUCUUAGAGGACCUGUUGUAGUUCAGUAUCAAAACGAUGGCAUCAUCAGGUUUUUCACCAGCUUCACCACCUGUCUUCAAUGGAGAGGGCUUCAACAUUUGGGCAGUUAAGAUGAGGACUUACCUGCAGGCAUUCGACCUAUGGGAAGUUGUUAACUCAGAUGCUGAGCCAGCACCUCUUCGAGCUAAUCCAACAGUUGCUCAAAUAAGGCAACACACUGAUGAAAGGACAAAAAGGCACAAGGCCAUGUCAUGCAUACAGAAUUGUGUGACAGAUGUGAUCUUUAUGAGGAUCAUGGCCUGUGAGACACCAAAGGAGGCUUGGGACAAGCUGAAAGAAGAAUUUCAGGGGACUGAGAAAACAAGGCAACAACAGCUGCUCAAUUUGAGAAGAGAUUUCGAAAAUCUCAAAAUGAAAGAGGAAGAAACAGUUAAGCAGUACUCAGACCGGAUUAUGGCUGUUGUAAACAGCAUAAGGCUCCUAGGAGAGCAAUUCAGUGAAGCUAGAAUGGUUGAGAAAGUCAUGUCCACUCUACCAGAGAGGUAUGAAGCUAAAAUUUCAUCCCUCGAAGACUCAAGGGACUUGACAACUAUCUCCUUAACUGAGCUAAUCAAUGCCUUGUAUGCAUAAGAGCAAAGAAGAGCUAGCAGACAAGAGGAGCACCAGGAAGGGGCUUUUCAAGCCAAAGAAGCCUCGAGCAUCAAAACUCAUAAAGGCAAAAAGUUCUGGAAAAACAAGCCUAAGCCUGAUGCUGCUAGGAGCAGUGACCAACUCUGCAGACAUUGUAAAAGAGCUGGUCAUCCAGAAGAUAGAUGCUGGUUUAGACCAGAUGCAGUAUGCCAAAACUGCAAGAAAAAAGGCCAUGUUGAAAAAGUUUGCAAGAAUAGAAGCAAACCAAGACAGAAUCAAUUUCAGCAACAAAAGGUGGAAGCUCGAGUAGCUGAAGAAAGUAGUGAUCAAGAAGAACAUGUUUUUGCUGUGUCAUGUGCAGCAAAUCAGAAGAAGGGUUCAAAGGGCUGGCUUCUAGACAGUGGGUGCACAAACCACAUGUCACCAGAUGCAACUAUCUUCAAAACCCUGGACAGAACCUGCAAAACCAAAGUAAAAAUUGGAAAUGGUCAGUUAAUCAAUGCUGAAGGAAGAGGAGAUGUGCUGAUUCAUACUUCUACAGGUGGCAAAAUCAUUUCAAAUGUACUUUUGGUACCUGAAAUCGAUAGGAACCUUCUCAGUAUAACUCAACUACUUGAGAAAGGUUACUCAGUUGUUUUCAAGGAGAAAGAAUGUCAAAUUUUUGAUCCAAGUGGAUCAAAUCUUAUAACAGUCACCAUGACUGAUAAAUGUUUUGAAGUAGACUGGCCAAAUGACUCACAUUCAGCCUGCAUAGCCUCCACUAAUGACUCGAGACUCUGGCAUCAGAGGCUUGGACAUGCAAACUACAAAUCCAUAGCCCGCAUGGUCAAUGAAGGUCUGGCAGAAAAUUUCAUUGAUUCAGUGAAGAAUGAUGAGCUUUGUGAGAUAUGUCAGCAAGGAAAAUUGGCAAGAUUGCCAUUUCCAACAAGCACAACAUGGAGAGCAUCAGAGAAGCUCCAGCUUGUGCAUACAGAUGUGUGUGGACCAAUGAAGACUGAGUCUCUCAAAGGAAGCAGGUACUUUAUUUUAUUUAUUGAUGACUUAACAAGAUACUGCUGGAUUUAUUUUCUAAAACAGAAAUCAGAAGUACCAUCUAUGUUCCUGAAGUAUAAGGCUGCUGUUGAAACUGAGUCUGGUUGCAAACUUAGAGCAAUGAGGUCAGAUAAUGGAACUGAGUACACCUCAGCUCAGUUCCAAGUCUACUGUGAAGAAGCAGGUAUCAAACACCAGUUGACUAAUGUGUAUACACCCCAACAGAAUGGGGUCAGUGAAAGGAAAAACAGAAGCUUGAUGAACAUGGCAAGAUGUCUUCUGUUUGAGAAGAAUUUGCCCAAAAGUCUGUGGGCUGAAGCUGUUAACACAGCAGUUUAUCUCUAAAAUAGGCUCCCAACCAAGGCUCUGGCUGAGAAGACUCCAUUUGAAGCCUGGUUUGGGUUUAAGCCAUCACUGGCUCAUCUCAGAACCUUUGGUUGUCUGUGCUAUACUCAAGUUCCAGCUGAGAAGAGAAGCAAGCUAGACAAAAGAGCUCAAGCAGGGAUCCUGAUCGGCUACAGCUUGGUUAAGAAGGGCUACAGAAUUCUAGAACCUGCUACAAACAAGAUAUUGGUUAGCAGGGAUGUUGUUUUCAAUGAAAAAGGACACUGGAAUUGGGAGAAGGCUGAACCAGAGGCAGUGGCUGAAGAUCUGGCAGUGGACCAAGUUGAAAAUGGUGAAAACACACCUGAAAUGGAUGUAGAUGAUGUUCCAAUCAGAGGCACUCGAUCACUGGCUGAUGUUUAUGAAAGAGCACAAGUGGCUACUGUUGAACCAAAUUGCUUUGAAGAAGCAGAAAACCAGGAGGACUGGAAGCAAGCAAUGAUUGAAGAAAUCAGAAUGAUUGAAAAGAAUCAGACCUGGAGUCUGGUUGAUAAACCAACAAACAGGAAGAUUAUUGGUGUCAAAUGGGUUUAUCGAGUAAAGAACAAUGCUGAUGGUAGCCUAAACAAGUUAAAGGCUAGAUUGGUUGUGAAAGGCUUCAGUCAAAGGUAUGGAUCAGACUACCUGGAAACCUUUGCACCAGUGGCCAGGUUAGACACUAUUAGACUGCUAGUUGCCUUAGCAGCACAAAAACAGUGGCUGAUACACCAACUUGAUGUAAAAUCAGCAUUUCUGAAUGGAUUCCUUGAAGAGGAGAUUUAUGUGGAGCAACCUCAAGGUUUCAAGGUGUCUGGCAAAGAAGAUAUGGUGUACAAGCUCAACAAAGCCUUGUAUGGCUUGAAACAGGCUCCAAGGGCCUGGUAUAGCAGAAUAGAUGGCUAUCUGACCAGUCAAGGAUUUGAAAGAAGUCUUAGCGAGCCAACUCUGUAUGUUAAAUCAACUAGUGCUGAAACUCAGCUCAUUGUCUCAAUAUAUGUCGAUGACCUACUGGUGACAGGAGGAGAUCAUGAGAUGCUAAGCAGUUUUAAAGUCAAAAUGCAACAGCACUUUGAAAUGUCAGACUUGGGAUUGAUGUCUUACUUCUUAGGCAUGGAAGUAACUCAAGCUAAGAAUGGGAUUUGGCUAAGUCAAAAGACCUUUGCUAUGAAGGUUCUCAACAAAUUCUCAAUGGAGAAUUGCAAAGCAACCAGCACACCAGUUGCUGUUGGAGAAAAACUCUCGAGCCAAGACAAGCAUGAAAAGGUUUGUGAAACAACCUAUCGAAGUCUAGUUAGAUGUUUGUUGUAUUUGACUGCUACUAGACCUGACAUAAUGUAUGCUGUGAGUCUACUCUCGAGGUUUAUGCAUUCUUCAAAUGAAAGUCAUUUUAGAGCUGCAAAAAGGGUUCUAAGAUACAUCAAAGGAACUUUGUCCUAUGGAAUGCAGUUUACCAAGGCUGAGAACUUGAGGCUAGUUGGAUAUUGUGACAGUGAUUGGGCUGGUUCUUUGGAUGACAUGAAGAGCACUACAGGUUAUGCAUUCAACAUAGGCUCUGCUAUGAUAUGCUGGAGCUCAAAGAAGCAAGGAGUAGUGGCUCAGUCGACUGCAGAAGCAGAAUAUGUGGCUGCUGCUGCAGCAGUCAAUCAAGCCAUAUGGCUUAGAAAAAUUUUGAAAGAUAUCAAUCAUGAGCAAAAGGAAGCAACUGAGAUAAUGUCUGACAACCAAUCAGCAGUUGCUAUUGCAAAGAAUCCUGUUUUUCAUGGAAGGACCAAGCACUUCAACAUCAAACUUCAUGCAGUUCGGGAAAUGGAACAAGCUCAUGUUGUUAAGCUGAUACAUUGCAGUUCUGAAGAGCAAAUUACUGAUAUUUUAACAAAAGCACUAAGUGUUUCCAAGUUUCAACACCUGAGAGCUAAUAUGGGAGUUUGCAACAUGCUAACCAAGGAGGAGUGUUGAAGUAAUGGUCAGCAUGCAGCAACCAAGACUGUCAAAGGCACUACAUGCAGAAGCUGCUGGUUCACCUAGUCAGCAAGCUGUUUAUGUUUCAUUUUGUAAUUUUAAGUUAGAGUAAUGUAACUUAGUUGCUUUAUAACUAUGUUAGGUUUAUGUUUGAUGUAAUUUUGAUGUUGACUGAGCUGAUAAAUCAGCUUUGUUUGUUUAUUCAAGCUAAUUAGCACAAGUUACUAUGUGUAUUAGUGGUAGUAGGUGAAGUUUAGGUCAACCUACUGUUUUGUCAAGAUUGUAAACUUGUUUUAUGUAUUGGCUUUGUGCCAUAUUUAGUUUGAUGAAUGAAUUCAAGAAGUUAUCAUCCAUAUGCUCUCCAUUUUUAGUUUUGCUUAAAAAUCCAUUUGAGUUUUCUGCUUUGUUUCUCCUACAAGUCACGAGACUUGCCAUACAAGCAUUCUGCUGAAGCUUGCUGCUGCUGCCUCUUGCACCAACAAGAGGUCUAAGCUUUCCAAACUUUUAAGCCCUUUUAAAAAUUGGGGGAAUUCACUAAGAUUGCAAGAUGACAAAAAUAAGCUUGUAAGAUUAACAGUAGAAGUUGUAUUAGAUGUUAAGGAUAGGCUGUUAUAUGAAAGGUCAAGAUAUUCGAGAUUUGGAAGGUUUGAGAACAUGCGAAACUCUAUGACACCACUAAGAUAAUUUGAGGAUAAGCUAAGUUGGGUAAGAUUGAGAAGUUGGAAUAUUGAAGAUGGAAGAGGACCUUGGAGUUUAUUAUUCUCUAACCAUAUCCAUUCUAGUGAUUUGGAUUGGAAUUCUUUGAUAUGCCCACUGAAUUGAUUUUGAGAGAGAUAUAUUGUCUUUAAGGAGGGAGCAAUAUACAACCAUGACGGAAGUGUUCCAUUGAGUAAAUUGUCAGAUAAGUCUAAAUAUAUUAGAUUAUGAAAAGCGGUUACCUCAUCUGGAAUGGAACCUUCUAAAGAAUUGUUAGAUAUUGUCAAGUAUUCCAGCUGCGUUAGGUUUAGAAUUGACAAUGGAAUUUGUCCACUCAAUUUGUUCCAUCCCAAGUCUAAAACAGUGAGUUGCAAGAGGUUCCCCAAUGAUCUUGGAAUCUGUCCACUCAAUUGGUUCAGCCACAAGUCUAAAUGAGUGAGUUGCAAGAGGUUCCCUAAUGAUCUUGGAAUUUGUCCACUCAAUUGGUUCUUCGACAAGUCUAAAUGAGUGAGUUGCAAGAGGUUCCCCAAUUUUCUUGGAAUUUGUCCACUCAAUUGGUUCUCCGACAAGUCUAAAUGAGUGAGUUUCAAGAGAUUCCCCAGUGAUCUUGGAACCAGUCCUGAUAAGUUGGAAUGGGAGAGAACUAAAAACUUCAAGGACACAAGAUUCCCCAUCGAGUCAGGCAAUCCUCCACAAAUAUUUGCGUCUGAAAUUAUCAAUUGUUCAAGAUUGCUGCUCCGAUUGAACUUCAAAGGAUCAAGAUUGAGGUUUUGGUUGCCUCCCAAGUUGAGGAGAUUGAGGUUUGGCAAAUCAAAAAUGUUUUUUGGGAAUUUUCCUUGCAAAUCACAACCAACAAGACUGAGAGACCUUAGAGAAGAGGAUAGAUUCAUGAAGACAUGAGCAUUAACUGAAGACAUGUCCAUUUCAUCCAAAAACAGACGUCUGACCUCGGUUAGGUUGUGAACAAGACCCUCCAGAGCAUAUUUGUCAAUUGUUAAUAGUUCAUCAAACCCAGAAAGAUCAAGUGAAACCAAUUUUGACAGGUGGGAGACUUGGGAUGGGACUUCUGAAAACCAUGUAUUGGAAAGGUUGAGGUAGAAUAGGCUUGUAAACCGACCGAACUCGGAUGGAAUUUUGGAAGAAUUAAAAUCAUUGUAGGCAAGGUUGAGUUUUUGAAGGUGAGGAAGAAGGAAGAGAGUGGUAUUGGAAGGGAAGGUGCCAUAUAGCCAACUGCAGCUCAAGUCAAGGGCAAUAACAUGAGCAUUUAGGUGGUCACAAGUGACCCCAUCCCAUGAGCAGCAAUCUGUACCCUCCUUCCAUGAAUUUGUCUUGGGAUAAGAUUUAAGGCCAGCAAAAUAAUCGCAAUGAUCAAAAGAAGCAUCCUCUCUUAUGGAAAAGGAGUCCUUAAACUGGAUUAGUGAAGAGCAGGAGUGAGAUCCUGAAGAAGAAAAAGAAGCAUAAAGAUGGAGAAAGAAGAGGAAUAGGGAGAGAAAGAGAUAGGAGGCCAUGUUAUGUUGGUAGAGGAAGAUGAAGGAUAGGAAUGGUAUUUAUAGGCAACAAAUAAUACCACAACAUUGGUGUUACAGUCUUUUUUCUUUUACAUUGAAAAGCUAUGGAUAUUAGAUUUUCAAAAUUUUUGUAUUUUUCACAAUCAUCAACAACCACUUUGUCUUCAUUUUACCAUAUAUUUUUCAUUCUUAAAAUUGGAUUAUUUUCUUUUAGCAAAAUCUUGUAUUUCAUUUGAACUCCCUAAACAACUAAAAAAUUAAGAUUGAUAAAAUUACAAAGUAGAUUGACUUAGUCUUCUUCCUUGUAACACGUAAAGAAUUUCCACGCAAAAGAACAAAAUUGUGCUCUAUUCUUUACGUUUGAGGAAGAAGACUGCUGGAAUUUUAAUCCACUGAUUCCAUAAAAACGUGUAUACUUAUAUAUAUAUAUAUUUAUAACCUCAUAAUUUAAAUCUAAAAUCUCAUUUGUUAUAAAUUCUGAUAAAUUUAUUUGGGAAUUGCUAUUUUUCAUUCGUUAAUUAUUUCUCUUUUAAUCGAGUAAAAAAUUAAAACUAAAGACAUAAUGAUUUAUUUGGUAUUUUUUAACUUCGCAAACGAAAAAUUAUUUUAGCUUUCUAUUUUUUUUUAUCUCUUUUAGUCUUGAAAUUUAUAUGGUUCAUUAAAUCACCCAAAAAAAUGAUGAAAAAAAUAACAAAACUAGCACCUACGUGGCUGAUGUUGACCCUUAAUAGUUAAUGGCAACACCUAUGUAGUUGUUAACAGAUACCACACCAACACUGUUUGUUGACGUGACAAUGCCACAUGAUCAAUAAUCGCAGACAUGGUAGCGCCACGCCAUCGCCCAUUGAUGACAUAUUAACCUUUGAGUUAAACUCAAAUAAUUUGGUCCCAAAUAGUUUUCAACACAAAAGAAUAGAGGAAGAAGACUGCUACAGGUUUAACUAUCAAUUGUCUAUUGACUAUACUUUUAACUCCACUAAAAAAGACCAAGACUAAGACUAUCAAUUGUCUAUUGACUACACUUUAACUCGACAAAAAAAGACCAAGACUAAGACUAUCAAUUGUCUAUUGGCUUCACACUUGCUGUUGCUUCCUCCUAUUUCUCUCACCCAAACUUAAUUUACAAGCAAUGUGGAAAUUUUGGACAUUUGCCCACAACGUACAAUACUUCCACACCAUUUGCAGUAUUGACUACGUUUACUUGAGGGAAAACAAAGACAUGAACGCUGGAAAUUUUAACUAGUUUGUACCGUCAAUGAAGCUACGUACCUAAAAGCCAUUUAGGAUAUCAAUUCCUGUAAUUGGAGUAAUCUCAUCGUUGCUGCAAUCUUUUGACAGUUUAAUCGAAUCUUAAAUAUGUUACUCUGCAAUGCUAUUGUAAAUAUUUUUCUUAAAUUUGUCGAUAGAUUUAUAGGUUUGGCACAAAAUUAAGAAUACACAAAGGCAGGUUGAAUUAUUCCAUGUUUGAACAUCUGCAACAUAAAUGCAUAUGGCAAAAGGGCUCAAACCAUACCUUAUGUUCAUGAAUUCUCAUCAUCACGUGUUUAUAAAUGCAACUCAAACUUCAAUAAUUGAAUCUUUUGUAAUUCUACAUGUAUUUUUUUAUUAUGGCGAGCAGUAUAAUGUUUACUAAAAAUUGAAAUUCAAGAAAGAAGACAUAUAUAGUUGCACCAUACAAGAUGUUACACUCGAACUAAACGCUUACAAAUAGUACGAAAUGCAAUUGAAUACAGAGGAAUUGGUACAAUCAUAAAAACAGACACAUACCAAUGCAACUUUUCACCAUAGGAAAAACUUUCUGACAGACUACUAAACAAGAAAUUAUGAAGACACAGUAGAAAUGCUUUAACUUCAUUUGCACCAACUAGAUCAUUCUUCAUCCACUCAUGCGAUUGCUAUAUUUUGGCUUUCUUCUUCGCCUCUUCUCAUGUUGGUCUUCAACCAAAUUCACGAACCUUUUCACCUUAUCGGUUUGGAAAACAACACAUCCCAUGGCCAUUCCAAACACUACCCCGGAUCCAUAACCUAUCAACACCACUUUCCAACCAAAAGCAAUGUUUGCUUUUGAGCCAUCCUUUUCCAGCACAUUUGGAGGUGGUGUCUCAUUGAUGCUGCAACCUUUGGAGACUGGAAAUCCACAUAGUCUCUGUUUCCUUCGUAUGAAUUGUUUCCAAAUGUAUUGAACUGUUUGCCUUGAGGAAUCUGACCAUGGAGUUGAUUUUCGGAAACGUUUAAUAAGGAAAGAAAUGCCGGAUCUGCCAAUAUCUCUGGAAUUAACUCAGUUCAAAAGACUAUAUAACUCGUAAAGUUUGGUCGAAGACUAGCAGGGGUCAAGAAAAAUAAUUACUUGAAUUGUCAAAAUUUUGGAUUUUAGAGAAACAAGCACUAGACUUGGAGCUAUGGUCAUGCAAGGAACCAUGCAUUUCAUUUGACUUUAGUACAAGAACUUGUAGCCGUGGAAGACUUCCCUACCAAUGAGGAAAUGUAUCAUUGAUCUUGUUGUUCCUAAGAUCUAGCACUUCCAAAGACCUAAAAUUGAGGAUGGAUGGUGACAAAUGCCAUUCAAAUUGAUUUCCAUUUAAGUUGAGAUUACUCAAUUGGCAUCCCUUUGCAAAUGUUGGAGGAAUCAAUCCAUAAAACUUGUUCUUCUUUAGAUUCAAAAAUUCCAGGUUGUUGCUCAAAUUUCCAAAACAUUGUAGAAUAGUUCCACUCAAUUUAUUGUGGGACAAGUCAAGAAUUUGGAGAGCACUCACAUUGCCUAUCAAAGAAGAGACCUCUCCACUUAAACUAUUGUUUGAAGUAAAAAACACGUUGAUUGUCGAAGAUGGGAUUGGAAGAUUUCCAUGGAUCAAAUUGGAGCUUAAGUCAAGAAUAUUAAUAUUCUUCCAUGGAAGUUGCUCAACUUCUGUCAAUGAAUUGUGAGAUAAAUUUAAGUAACUCAAAGAGUCACACGUCACUUCUUGCAGCCAUUGUGGAAUCUUCCCUUCAAUUCUAUUGUUAGAAAGCUCCAAAGUUUUCAACUUUUUUAACCCUUUCAAAAAUCGGGGGAAUUGGCUGACAUUAUUUGAGCUUAAGGAUAGGCUGUUUAGUGAAAGGUCAAGAUAUUCGAGAUUUGGGAGAUUUGAGAACAUGCCAAACUCUAUGACACCACUGAAAUUAUUUGAGUAUAAAAGGAGCCAGGUAAGGUUGAGAAAUUGGAAUAUUGAAGAUGGAAGAGGACCUUGGAGAUUAUUAUUCCCUAACACUAUCAUUCUAGUGAUUUGGAUUGGAAUUCUUUGAUGUGUCCACUGAAUUGAUUCUGAGAGAGAGAUAUUUCCAUUAAGGAGAAAGCAUUAUACAACCAUGACAGAAGUUUUCCAUUGGGUAAAUUGUUAGAUAAGUCUAAAGAUAUUAGAUUAGGGAAAGCAGCUACCUCAUCUGGAAUGGGACCUUCUAAAGAAUUUUCAGCUAUUCUCAAGUGUUCAAGCUGUGUUAGGUUUACAAUUGACAAUGGAACUUGUUCACUCAAUUGGUUCCAUGACAAGUCUAAAUAUAUGAGCCACAAGAGGUUCCCCAGAGAUCUCGAAAUUGAUCCCUGUAAAUUGGAAUUAGAGAGAGACAAAUAUUUCAAGACGUGCAGGUUGUCAAUCAAAUCAAUCAAUUUUGAAAAGGAGGACAUCCAUGACAGAUCCAAAUGUUCAAGAUUACUGCUCUGAUUGAACUUCAGAAGAUCAAGAAUCAGGUUUCGGUUGUAUCCUAAGUUGAGCAAAUUGAGGUUUGGCGAAUGAAGAACGUUUCUUGAGAAUUUUCCUUGCAAAUCACAACCACCAAGACUGAGAGACUUUAUAGAAGAGGAUAGAUUGAUGAAAACAUUAGGAUUAAUAGAAGGCAUGAUAAUUCUAUCAAGAAAAAGAUGUCUCACCUCAGUUAGGUUGUGAACAAGUCCCUUCAAAGAAUUUUAUCAAGUGUUAAUUGGUCAGAAAAAACAUUAUGAGAGAGAUCAAGUGAAACCAAUUUUGACGAGUGGGAGAUUUGGGAUGGGACUUUUCCUGCAAAUAACGUUUCUGAGAUGUUAAGAUACACCAGGCUUGUAAACCGGCCGAACUCGGAUGGAAUUUUGGAAAGAUUAAAAUCAUUGUAGGCAAGGUUGAAUUUUUGAAGGUGAGGAAGAAGGAAGAGAGUGGUAUUGGAAGGGAAGUUGCCAUAUAGACAACUGCAGCUCAAGUCAAGGGCAAUAUAUAACUUGAGCAUUUAGGUGGUCACAAGUGACCCCAUCCCAUGAGCAGCAAUCUGUACCCUCAUUCCAUGAAUUUGUCCUGGGAUAAGAUUUAUGGCCAUCAAUCUCAUUGCUAUAAGAAGAAGCAUACUCUGUUAUGGAAAAAGAGUCCUUAAACUGGAUUAGUGAAGAGCAGGAGUGAGAUCCUGAAGAAGAAAAAGAAGCAUAAAGAUGGGGAAAGGUUAAGGUAGAAUAGGCUUGUAAACCGACCGAACUCGGAUGAAAUUUUGGAAAGAUUAAAAUCAUUGAAGGCAAGGUUGAGUUUUUGAAGGUGAGGAAGAAGGAAGAGAGUGGUAUUGGAAGGGAAGUUGCCAUAUAGCCAACUGCAGCUCAAGUCAAGGGCAAUAACUUGAGCAUUAAGGUGAUGACAAGUGACCCCACACCAUGAGCAGCAAUCUGUACCCUCCUUCCAUGAAUUUGUCUUGGGAUAAGAUUUAAGGCCGGCAAAAUCAUCGCAACACAAAGCAGCAUGGCCUGUCUGAGUGAUCGAAAAUGAAUUCUUGAACUGGAUUAGAGAAGCAGCUUCGUGGUGAGAGCAGGAGUGAGAUCCUGAAGAAGAAGAAGCAUAAAGAUGGGGAAAGAAGAGGAAUAGGCAGAGAGAGAGAUAGGGGCCAUGUUAUGUUUGUAGAGGAAGAUGAAGGAUAGGAAUGGUAUUUAUAGGCAACAAAUAGAAUCCAAUAUUAAACAAAAGAUUUGAUGAUUAAUACCACAACACCACUGUUACAGUGUUGUUUCUUUUAUGGUAUAAAGAUUGUUAUUGGAAGAGUUUGAAAUGCUGACAUUGAAAACCUAUAUUUUUCAAUACUCAUCAACAACCACUUCCUUUUUACCAUAUCUUUUUCAUUCCCAAAAUUGGAUACAUUGUUUUACCAAAAUUUUGUAUUUCAUUUGAACUCCCUAAACAACUGAGAAAAUUAACAUUGAUGAGAUUACAAAGUAGAUUGACUUAGUCUUCUUCCUUAUAAUAGGUAAAAAAAAAAUGUGAGUGUCUAUUCACUUAUAAUAUUUCCAUGCUAGAGGUAGUUUUUGGAAAAUCUUUAAUUAAAUCUUAAUUUCAUUUUGUUAAAAUUUUAAACUGGGUUAUCGAAUUGGCUUCUGAUUGUAGGUUGAUCAAUGAUGGGCCGAUUUCUUCUUCUUCUUUUUUAAUUUUUUUAGGGUUAAUUUAUAAUAUACUGCUUAAUGUUGUUGAUUUAUUUUUCUGGUCAUCGUUUCAUCCGUUUGUUGAAGAUAACUGAAUUUUUAUUGGUUGUAAUUGGACUUGGGUUUUAGCCAAUGACUAUAAUCAAAGGGUUAAUUUAAGGUUCCAAUGAAUUGUUUGAAAAUUUUAUUAUUUUUCUUUUCAAUUAGUUGUUUUACAAGGAUUUAACUUAUAUUAGUCAAAUGAACUGGCUUUAAAAAAUGAACAAGAACGAAGAAAUUGGAUGGUUAACUGGACACUGGAAAGGGGGAAUGCUAAAAGUUGUAAAUGUUUUGAAUAUAGAGUUGUAUUCUUUUCAUGGCUUCAGAAAAAUGUAUGCAAUGUUUGGCCAGCGAUAAUGGACAAGUUUUUUUAAACCUCCAUGCCUUAGUCAUGCUUUCAUAAACAUGGGCAGCUAACACCGAGAAGUCUCAUUGAAUGUAGUAAGCGAUUUAAAAGUGAAGCUCAUAUGCGACCGGGGAUGGUUGAUUUGAGGUUUAAUUCUAGCUAGUAGAUUCUGUUGUUUGUUAAGCGUCUUUUUGGAGACAAAUGUCUGAGAUUGCUGGAAAAUGCUUCUUACCAUCAUAUUAAUGUGUAUUUGGGUUGCGUUUUCUUAGAGUUUUGGAUUCUUUGCAUCAUAUCAUAAAAUUGAGUUAGAUAUAACAUCUCAUUGUUAUCUGUUAAUUGUUUCACUUGGGACCAGGAGCAUGCUGGCAACUCAAUACAGCUGUAAAUGCAUAUUUCAGUGAGGGUGAUAGGUAUAUAUUUAUGAAUUAUCCUAAUAUUUUUUAUGAUAAGUAAUUCUAGGUUUAUAGCUUUAUUUGUUUGUUUGUUUUCUCGUGUUUCCUACAAAAAAAGGCCAACAUCAACCAUAGUUCCUGUAGAUGAUGCCAUGGAUAUAGAUGAUCCAAAUGAAGUAGUACCAAAUGGGCCAGUCCUUCCAUUUCUACCAUCAUCUAGAACAAACGAACAAUCGUCUCUUUUUCUGAAAUUUCCGGCGCGACGCCUGUGCGGGGGGCCUUGGCCGGAAUCUGGACUUAGUCCAGAGAGUUUUUUUUUCUUUCUUCUGUUUUUUUUUUUCAAUGUUCAAAUGAUUUUUUUUCUCAAAACACUAAUUUUUAUGCCCAGUGAAACGGCGCCGUUUUGGCUAAGCUCCAAAACACCCAAAACGACGUCGUUUCACUCGCCACCAACUUGAAUUUUAUAACUACUCCUAUGCCAACCAGCAAACCAUAACAGCGUACAUAAAAAAGAGGAUGCUGACUUACAAUUCCUUUCAUUUCACCAUAACCAAUCAAAUCCCUUGCAAUGCUGUUUGGAUCACAGCAGCUCAUCUUUCAAUCCUAGAUGGCUCCGCUAAUUUUUUGAAAGCAUACAUAAACUGUUAAAGAAAUAAAUGGAUAAAACAACUACAGGAUAGAAGGCUGAAAAAUUACAAAGUGCAAUGACCUUAUUGUUAAAAUUUCAACGCCCAUUCCUUGGAAAGAUAUCUUCACCAUUGCCCACUCAAGAGAACUCAAAUAGCAGCAAGAUCUAGUAUAAAAUGUAACUCUCAACAACACACACAAAUGUUUGUUCUAUCAAGGAGCAAUACACAGACAUAUUCACCUACCCUUGGUUCUAGCUUUGCAUAUUACAUAACACUCUUCAAAUGUCUUAUUAAAUUCUCACUUUUACGAGUGCUAUGAUAAUCAAAUAAAAUUCAAUUCAAUUUUAAGUUCCAUAUAACACUUACAUGGCUACAAAAUGUGUGUGUGUUUAAGUGUCGACAACCACAAACAAUCCAAAUUUGCAGAGAAACCACCCAUUAUAUAUAGGUUUGCCAAUGAGAUGGCAAGCAGAUUGCUAGCUAGAAAUUCAUGCAUCUUUGAAUCACCAGUUCAAUUAAUAAGCUUAAGUAGAGGAAAUAGGGACUUUACAUCCACCAAUUAAAGCAACCUAUAUGUACCCUUUUACAGUCUGCAUUGUUCCAUGUUUCAAUUCAUUACAUCAUUCCUUCAACUCUGCUAUAUAUUAUUACCGUCUCCAGAUAACCAAACCUUUUACUGCUAACUUGUAAAAAAAUUAUGAAAAUACAACAGAGAUCAUUGAGACAUUGUUGAAGUUGGCUUGCAUGCAGAGCAAGAAGCAGACCAAGCUGUCCGAGCCAUGCAAGUUGCAGCUGAAGCUUAUGCUGCUGUUUUGUUACUUUCAAAUAGAUAUUUUAUUACUUAGUUAGAUAUGAACUAAGUUGUUGAUAUGCUUGAUGUGAUUAGGUGCUGAUAGAUUGAUAAAUCAGCUUUACCAAGUGUACAAGCAAUGUUUAUCAAGUUACUAAGCCACUUAGUGGAGUUAGGCACGUGUUUAGGUAACAUUUUCUUAUUUUUGACCAGCUGAUUGCUCGGUAUAUGUAAUGGAAUUGUGCCUUCAUUUGGUCUUUACUUAAGCAUUUUUAUUCAAAAAGCUCUUGCUGUUUUUGUUUUGUUUGUUGUGCAAGAUAUCAAUGCUUUAUGCUUAAGUUUCUGUCAAAAUUUCUCAUUCUGUUUUCUUAGUUCCUACAGACAUUUUGUUCUCCUUUCUCCUUUACUGAGCAGUAGCAAAGAUUAUUGAGACUAAAUUGAAAUCCAUGAAAGAAGACAUAAACAACACCACCAUACAAAAUGUCACACUCAAACAAACCAUUACAGAUAGUACGAAAUGCAAUGAAAGACAGAGGAAUUGGUACAAUAAUAAAGACAGCCAGAUACCAAUGCAACCCUUCACCAUAGGCACAACGGUCUACAAACAAGAAAUUAUGAAAAAUACAACACUAAUUCUUGAACAUCAUUUGCAGUAAUUAGAUCCUUCUUCGUCUACUGCUGCGAUUGCCUUUCUUUGACUUUCUUCUUCGCCUCUUCUCAUGUUGGUUUUCAACCAAAUUCACCAACCAUUUUGGCUUUCCAGUUUGGAAAACAACAUAUCCCACGGACAUUCCGAACACUACUCCGCAUCCACAACCUAUCAUCACCACUUUCCAACCAAAAGCAAUGUUUGAUUUUGAGCCAUCUUUUUCAAGCACAUUUGGAGGUGGUGGGUCAAUGAUGUUGCAACCUUUCGAGACCGGAAACCCACACAGUCCCUUAUUUCCUUCAUAUGAAUCAUUUCCAAAUGUGUUGAAUUGUUUGCCUUGGGGAAUCUUACCAUGGAGUUGAUUUUCAGAAACAUUUAAGGACGAAAGAAACGGCAGAUCUGCCAAUCUAUUUGGAAUCGCCCCAGACAACCUGUUUGAAGAUAGGUCCAACCAUUCAAGACUUGUCAAAUUCCCUAUUGAUGUGGGGAUACCACCAUUAAGGUUAUUAUGAGAAAGGUUGAGCCCUUUCAGUAAGUUAAGCUUCCCAAUAACCUUUGGAAUACCCCCUUCAAACUGAUUGUUUGAUAGAUCAAUGAUCAUCCACAUGGUGAAAAUUUUCACCAAUUCCCUAUCUUGUCCUUUCAUAACAAUUCCAAUGGAAUAGGUAUAGAAGUCACCUCCAUCAUCAUUCACCCCCAUGUACGACACUGUACUACCAAUCUUCUCUAGAUUUAUGAUAGCCUUGAAGCUGUUGAUGUAUCUCACUGGUAGGGGUCCAGAAAAAUAAUUACUUGAGAGAUCAAAAAUUUGGAUUUUAGAGAAAAAAGGGAUAGACUUGGAGCUAUUGACACAUAAGGAACCAUGCAAUUGAUUUGACUUCAAUACAAGAACUUGUAGCCGUGGAAGACUUCCCAACCAAUGAGGAAAUGUAUCAUUGAUCUUGUUGUUACCAAGAUCUAGCACUUCCAGACCAUUACAAUUAAGGAUGGAUGGUGUCAAAGGCCCUUCUAACAGAUUUCCAUUUAAGUUGAAAUUACUCAAUUGGCAUCCCAUUGCAAAUGUUGGAGGAAUCGUCCCAUAGAACUUGUUCUUCUUCAGAUUCAAGAAUAGAAGGCUGUUGCUCAAAUUUCCAAAACAUUGUGGAAUUGUUCCACUCAAGUUAUUGUGGGACAAAUCAAGAAUUUCAAGAAAAGCGGCAUUGCAUAUUAAAGAAGAGACCUCUCCAUUGAAACUAUUAUUAGAGAUCAAAAAGACAUUGAUGGUCGAAGCUGGAAUCGGAAGAUUUCCACUGAUCAAAUUGGAGCUUAAGUCAAGAACGUCAAUAUUCUUCCAUGGAAAGUGCUCAACUUCUGUCAAAGAGUUGUGAGAUACGUUUAAGUAAGUCAAAGAGUCAUUCCCCACCUCUUGCAUCCACUGUGGAAUCUUGCCUUCAAUUUUGUUGUAAGAGAGGUCUAAGCUUUCCAAACUUUUAAGCCCUUUUAAAAAUUGGGGGAAUUCACUAAGAUUGCAAGAUGACAAAAACAACCUUGUAAGAUUAACAGUAGAAGUAGUAUUAGAUGUUAAGGAUAGGCUGUUAUAUGAAAGGUCAAGAGAUUCGAGAUUUGGAAGGUUUGAGAACAUGCGAAACUCUAUGACACCACUAAGAUAAUUUGAGGAUAAGCUAAGUUGGGUAAGAUUGAGAAGUUGGAAUAUUGAAGAUGGAAGAGGACCUUGGAGUUUAUUAUUCUCUAACGCUAUCCAUUCUAGUGAUUUGGAUUGGAAUUCUUUGAUAUGCCCACUGAAUUGAUUUUGAGAGAGUUUUAUAUCCUUUAAGGAGGGAGCAGUAUACAACCAUGAUGGAAGUUGUCCACUGAGUAAAUUGUUAGUUAAGUCUAAAGAUAUUAGAUUAGGAAAAGCGGUUACCUCAUCUGGAAUAGAACCUUUUAAUGUAUUUCCAGCUAUUCUCAAGUAUUCCAGCUGCGUUAGGUUUAGAAUUGACAAUGGAAUUUGUCCAUUCAAUUGGUUCUGCCACAAGCCUAAAUAAGUGAGUUGCAAGAGGUUCCCCAAUGAUCUUGGAAUUUGUCCACUCAAUUGGUUUUGCCACAAGCCUAAAUAAGUGAGUUGCAAGAGGUUCCCCAAUGAUCUUGGAAUUUGUCCACUCAACUGGUUCCCCGAUAAGUCUAAAUGAGUGAGUUGCAAGAGAUUCCCCAGUGAUUUUGGAACCGGUCCUGAUAAGUUGGAAUAGGAGAGAUCUAAAAACUUCAAGGACACAAGAUUACCCACCGAGUCUGGCAAUCCUCCAAAAAAAUUUGCGCCUGAAAUUAUCAAUUGCUCCAAAGAUGAUAAAUUUGUGAUUGAGACAGACAAUCCUUGAAAGAAAAAAUUUCCUGAUAGACCUAAGGACUUUAAGGCCUGUAGAUUAUCAACUGAAUCAAUGAAUUCUGUAGAGAAGGACGUCCAUGACAGAUCCAAAUGUUCAAGAUUGCUGCUCCGAUUCAACUUCAAAGGAUCAAGAUUGAGGUUUUGGUUGUUUCCCAAGUUGAGGAGAUUGAGGUUUGGCAAAUCAAAAAUGUUGUUUGGGAAUUUUCCUUGCAAAUCACAACCAGCAAGACUGAGAGACCUUAGAGAAGAGGAUAGAUUCAUGAAGACAUGAGCAUUAACAGAAGCCAUCUCCAUUCCAUCCAAAAACAGAUGUCUGACCUCGGUUAGGUUUUGAACAAGUCCCUCCAGAGCAUGUUUGUCUCCUACAAACCCUGUACUGGAAAGGUCGAGGUAGAGUAGGCUUGUAAACCGACCUAACUCGGAUGGAAUUUCGGAAAGAUUAAACUCAUUGUAGGCAAGGUUGAGUUUUUGAAGGUGAGGAAGAAGGAAGAGAGUGGAAUUGGAAGGGAAGUUGCCAUAUAGCCAACUGCAGCUCAAGUCAAGGGCAAUAACAUGAGCAUUUAGGUGGUCACAAGUGACCCCAUCCCAUGAGCAGCAAUCUGUACCCUCCUUCCAUGAAUUUGUCUUGGGAUAAGAUUUAUGGCCAGCAAUCUCAUUGCAAUAAGAAGAAGCGUCCUCUGUUAUGGAAAAAGAGUCCUUAAACUGGAUUAGUGAAGAGCAGGAGUGAGAUCCAGAAGAAGAAAAAGAAGCAUAAAGAUGGGGAAAGAAGAGGAAUAGGCAGAGGAAGAGAUAGGGGGCCAUGUUAUGUCUGUAGAGGAAGAUGAAGGAUAGGAAUGGUAUUUAUAGGCAACAAAUAAUACCGCAGUGUUACAGUCUUUUUUUCUUUUACAUUGAGAAGCUAUGGAGAUUAGAUUUUCAAAAUUUUUGUAUUUUUAACAAUCAUCAACAGUCACUUAGUCUUCUUUUUACCAUAUAUUUUUCAUUCUUAAAAUUGGAUGCUAUCUUUUCGCAAAAUCUUGUGGAAAUUCUUUAGCCUUCUUCUCUAUAACACUUAAAGAAUGUGUGUAUGUAUUCAUUUGCCUGUCAACUAAAGCUAAUUAAUGUGGAAAUUCUUUUCCACCCAAAAGAACAAAAUUGUGCUCUAUUCAUUAAGUUUGAGGAAGAAGAUUGCUGGAAAUUUAAUCUACCGAUUCCAUAAAAAACGUGUAUACUUAUAUAACCUCAUAAUUCAAAUCUAAAAUCUCAUUUGUUAUAAAUUCUGAUAAAUUUCUUUGGAAUUGCUAUUUUUCAUUUGUUAAUUAUUUCUCUUUUAAUCGAGUAAAAAAUUAAAACUAAAAAGACAUAAUGAUUUAUUUGGCAUUUUUAAACUUUACAAAUAAAAAAUCAUUUUAGCUUUUCAUUUUUUUAUCUCUAUUAAAUCACCCAAAAAAAAUAAUGAAAAAGACUAACAAAACUAGCACCUACGUGGCUGAUGUUGACCCUUAGUAGUUAAUGACAACAUCUACGUAGUUGUUAACAGAUACCACACUAACACUGUUUGUUGACGUGACAAUGCCACAUGAUCAAUAAUCACCGACAUGGUAGCGCCACGCUAUCGCCCAUUGGUGACAUAUUGAUGUUUGAGUUAAACUCAAAUUACUAUUUCCUUUGUUAUAAAUUAAGAGUAUAACUAAUUUUGAUAAGAAUGAUUACUUUUCAUUAACUCAGUCUAAAGGACUAUAACACGUAAAGUUUGGCCUAUUGCAGAAUUCACAUGCAAUGCGGGGCAUUUACAUUAUGCAGAAUUCGGCACAUAUAUGGGAAUUUUUGUAUUUCCACAAUCAUCAUGUUGUUCGUGAUCAACAACUACUUCCUUUUUACCAUAUAUUUUUCAUUCAUAAAAUUGAUUACUUUUUUUUUUACGAAAGAAGUAAAAUUAUUAACAUUCAUGAUAUUACAAAGCCUUCUUCCUUAUAACACGUCAAGUUUGGCCCCAAAUAAUUUUCCAGACAAAAGAAUUAAGAGGAAGGAGACUGCUACAGAUUGACUAUACUUUUAACUCCACAAACAAAGACUAAGACUAUCAAUUGUCUAUUGACUACACUUUAACUCGACAAAAACAGAUUGACUAUACUUUUAACUCCACAAACAAAGACUAAGACUAUCAAUUGUCUAUUGACUUCACUUUAACUCGACAAAAACAGACUAAUAAGACUUUGGUUGGCUGUAAUGGGCUAUUGACUAUACUUUAACUCCGCAAAAAAAGACUAAGGCUAUCAAUUGUCUAUUGACUUCACACUUGCUGUUGCUUCCUCCUAUCUCUAUCACUUGCUUCCUCCUAUCUCUAUCACCCAAACUUAAUUUACAAGCAAUGUGGAAAUUUUGGACAUUUGGGCCACAAUGUACAAUACUUCCACACCAUUUGCAGUAUUGACUACGUUUACUUGAGGGCAAACAAAGACAUGAAUGCUGGAAAUUUUAACUAGUUUGUACCGUCAAUGAAGCUACGUACCUAAAAGCAAUGUAUUAUCACCGUCUCCAGAAAUUUUGCUAAUUCAAUUUCCCAAGAAAUAUGAUUAAUUUUGGUUAAAUUGGAGUGAACAUUACUAUUUCUGUUUUAGCAAUUAAAGCAACCUAUAUGUACCCUUUUACAGUCUGCAUUGUUCCAUGUUUCCAUUCAUUACAUCAUUCCUUCAACUCUGCUAUAUAUUAUCACCGUCUCCAGAGAACCAAACCUUUUACUGCUAACUUGUAAAAAAAUUAUGAAAAUACAACAGAGAUUAUUGAGACAUUGUUGAAGUUGGCUUGCAUGCAGUAGACAUUGUUAAUCUUAUUAUUAUUAUUAUUAUUAUUAACUCAUGAACCCAUGGUUACACUUCCAACAGAGGUGAGAGAGGUUAAGAGUAGCCAUGAGCCAUCUAGUCAUGCUCCUGUUGUUGAGGAUGCCUCUGAAACUGCACAAGCUCUCAGCCCGAAUUCAAAUCUAAAAUCUCAUUUGUUAUAAAUUCUGAUAAAUUUAUUUGGGAAUUGCUAUUUUUCAUUCGUUAAUUAUUUCUCUUUUAAUCGAGUAAAAAAUUAAAACUAAAAAGACAUGAUAAUUUACUUGGCAUUUUUUAACUUUACAAACAAAUAGUCAUUUUAGCUUUCCAUUUUUUUUUUCUCUUUUAGCCUUGAAACUUAUAUGGUUCCUUAAAUCACUCCAAAAAAAAUGAUGAAAAAGACUAACAAAUUCUAGCACCUACGUGGCUGAUGUUGACCCUAGUAGUUAAUGGCAACACCUACGUAGUGGUUAACAGAUACCACACCAACACUGUUUGUUGACGUGACAAUGCCAAAUGGUCAAUAAUCGCUGACAUGGUAGCGCCACGCCAUCGCCCAUUGAUGACAUGUUAACCUUUGAGUUAAACUCAAAUUACUCUUUCCUUUGUUAUAAAUUAAGAGUAUAAAUAAUUCUGAUAAGAAUAGUUACUUUUCAUUAACUCAGUUUAAAGGACUAUAACACGUAAAGUUUGGUCUAUUGCAGAAUUCACAUGCCAUGCGGGACGUUUACAUUAUGCAGAAUUCAACACAUAUAUGGGAAUUUUUGUAUUUCCACAAUCAUCAAAUAAUUUUCAUAAAUUGAUUACUUUCUUUUUACCAUAUAAUUUUCAUUCAUAAAUUGAUUACUUUUUUUUUACAAAAGAAGUAAAAUAAUUAAUAUUCGUGAGAUUACAAAGUCUUCUUCCUUAUACACGUCAAGUUUGGUCUCAAAUAAUUUUCCACACAAAAGAAUACUUUUAACAAUCAAUUGUCUAUUGACUAUACUUUGAACUCCACAAAAAAGACUAAGACCUUCAAUUGUCUAUUGACUACACUUUAACUCGACAAAAAAAGACUAAGACUAUCAAUUGUCUAUUGACUAUCAAUUGGUUCCAUGACAAGUCUAAAUAUAUGAGCCACAAGAGGUUCCCCAAUGAUCUCGAAAUUGAUCCCCGUAAAUUGGAAUUAGAGAGAGACAAAUAUUUCAAGACAUGCAGGUUGUCAAUCAAAUCAAUCAAUUUCGUAAAGGAGGACAUCCAUGACAGAUCCAAAUGUUCAAAAUUACUGCUCUGAUUGAACUUCAGAAGAUCAAGACUAAGGAUUCGGUUGUAUCCUAAGUUGAGCAAAUUGAGGUUUGGCGAAUGAAGAAUGUUUCUUGAGAACUUUCCUUGCAAAUCACAACCACCAAGACUGAGAGACUUUAUAGAAGAGGAUAGAUUCAUGAAAACAUUAGGAUUAAUAGAAGGCAUGAUAAUUCUAACAAGAAAAAGAUGUGUCACCUCAGUUAGGUUGUGAACAAGUCCCUCCAAAGAAUUUUAUCAAGAGUUAAUUGGUGAGAAAAAACAUUAUGAGAGAGAUCAAGUGAAACCAAAUUUGACGAGUGGGAGAUUUGGGAUGGGACUUUUCCUGUAAAUAACGUUUUUUAGAUGUUAAGAUACACCAGCCUUGUAAACCGACCGAACUAGGAUGGAAUUUUGGAAAGAUUAAAAUCAUUGUAGGCAAGGUUGAGUUUUUGAAGGUGAGGAAGGAGGAAGAGAGUGGUAUUGGAAGGGAAGUUGCCAUAUAGCCAACUGCAGCUCAAGUCAAGGGCAAUAACAUGAGCAUUAAGGUGAUGACAAGUGACCCCAUACCAUGAGCAGCAAUCUGUACCCUCCUUCCAUGAAUUUGUCUUGGGAUAAGAUUUAAGGCCGUCAAAAUCAUCGCAAUACAAAGCAGCAUGGUCUGUCUGAGUGAUCGAAAAUGAAUUCUUGAACUGGAUUAGAGAAGCAGCUUCGUGGUGAGAGCAGGAGUGAGAUCCUGAAGAAGAAGAAGCAUAAAGAUGGGGAAAGAAGAGGAAUAGGCAGAGAGAGAGAUAGGGGCCAUGUUAUGUUUGUAGAGGAAGAUGAAGGAUAGGAAUGGUAUUUAUAGGCAACAAAUAGAAUCCAAUAUUAAACAAAAGCUUUGAUGAUUAAUACCACAACACCACUGUUACAGUGUUGUUUCUUUUAUGGUAUAAAGAUUGUUAUUGGAAGAGUUUGAAAUGCUGACAUUGAAAACCUAUAUUUUUCAAUACUCAUCAACAACCACUUCCUUUUUACCAUAUCUUUUUCAUUCCCAAAAUUGGAUACAUUGUUUUACCAAAAUUUUGUAUUUCAUUUGAACUCCCUAAACAACUGAGAAAAUUAACAUUGAUGAGAUUACAAAAUAGAUUGACUUAGUCUUCUUCCUUAUAAUACGUAAAAAAAAAUGUGAGUGUCUAUUCACUUAUAAUAUUUCCAUGCUAGAGGUAGUUUUUGGAAAAUCUUUAAUUAAACCUUAAUUUCAUUUUGUUAAAAUUUUUAACUGGAUUAUCGAAUUGGCUUCUGAUUGUAGGUUGAUCAAUGAUGGGCUGAUUUCUUCUUCUUCUUUUUUAAUUUUUUUAGGGUUUAUAAUAUACUGCUUAAUGUUGUUGAUUUAUUUUUCUGAUCAUCGUUUCAUUCGUUUGUUGAAGAUAACUGAAUUUUUAUUGGUUGUAAUUGGACUUGGGUUUUAGCCAAUGACUAUAAUCAAAGGGUUAAUUUAAGGUUCGAAUGAAUUAUUUGAAAAUUUUAUUAUUUUUCUUUUCAAUUAGUUGUUUUACAAGGAUUUAACUUAUAUUAGUCAAAUGAACUGGGUUUAAAAAAUGAACAAGAACGAAGAAAUUGGAUGGUUGACUGGACACUGGAAAGGGGAAAAGCUAAAAGUUGUAAAUGUUUUGAAUAUAGAGUUGUAUUCUUUUCAUGGCUUCAGAAAAAUGUAUGCAAUGUUUGGCCAGCGAUAAUGGACAAGUUUUUUUAAACCUCCAUGCCUAAGUCAUGCUUUCAUAAACAUGGGCAGCUAACACCGAGAAGUCAGUAAGCGAUUUAAAAGUGAAGCUCAUAUGCGUCAUUGCUACUCGCUUUGCAGCUAAACUCCUGAGUGACCGGGGAUGGUUGAUUUGAGGUUUAAUUCUAGCUAGUAGAUUCUUAGGUUUGUUAAGGGUCUUUUUGGAGACAAAUGUCUGAGAUUGCUGGAAAAUGCUUCUUACCAUCAUAUUAAUGUCUAUUCGGGUUGCGUUUUCUUAGAGUUUUGGAUUCUUUGCAUCUUAUCAUAAAAUUGAGUUAGAUAUAACAUGUCAUUGUUAUCUGUUAAUUGUUUCACUUGGGACCAGGAGCAUGGUGGCAACUCAAUACAGCUGUAAAUGCAUAUUUCAGCGAGGGUGAUAGGUAUAUAUUUAUGAAUUAUGCUAAUAUUUUGUUAUGAUAAGUAAUUCUAGGUUUAUAGCUUUAUUGGUUUGUUUGUUUUCUCAUGUUUCCUACAAAAAUAAGGCCAACAUCAACCAUAGUUUCUGUAGAUUAUGCCAUGGAUAUAAAUGAUCCAAAUGAAGUUGUACCAAAUGGGCCAGUCCCUUCCAUUUCUACCAUCAUCUAGAACAAACGAACAAUCGUCUCUUCAUCAUCGAAACUUCCAUAGCAGUUUCUUCGAUGGUGAUUCUGGUUCAACUUAUGAACCAAUUGAUACAUAUCCAACAGAGGUGAGAGGGGUUAAGUAUAGCCAUGAGCCAUCUAGUCAUGCUCCUGUUGUUGAGGAUGCCUCUGAAACUGCACAAGCUCUCGGCCCGAAUUCCCAUGAGACUGUUACAAUUGGUGAAGUAGGUGACGAUUCAAUUGCGCAGCCAAGGUGGCAGAAUGAUAACUGUAACAACCAGCAUGUUACACCCAGCGCUCCUGCCUUUGAUAAUUUGCUAGACUAUGGCGAUGACAUUGAAGAACAAAUGAUUCAAGCUGCCAUUGAGGCCUCUAAGCGGGAUGCUGAGGCAAGUUUUAAAAAAAGGACGCUUCCAAUUUGAUAGUGUUGUGGUGCCCUUCAUUCUUGUAGUUGCUGUAAAUGCUUGUUUUACAGAUUGCCUUUUUCAUGUUUAAAGUGUUAAAGUGUUGCAAAUUGAAGUGUUUUAAGUAAUGCAAAUUGAAUUGUUUAGUUGCUGGAAAUUGAGAUGUUUUAUGGCCGUAAUUGAGUGUAUAAAUGUUGUAAAUUGAAGUGUUUUAUUGCUGGAAAUUGGAUGCAUGGUAUAAUGACAUGAUAGAAUGUCAUUACAAUGUUGUAACUUUUUGAUGUUGUAAAAUCAUAUGGAUUAUGACAUCUAAACUAAUGAAAUCGUGUAACUUUUUAUUAAUAUAUGAAUAUUAUGUUGGGAUGUGAAAUAUAAUUCUCAAGUUAUUUAUUACUUCUAAUAUCUAAUAUUUCAUUGUAGAAUAAUUAAAAUUAUUUGUUUCACUAAUGAUAUUUUAGCACAUUCAAUAUCUAUUGCAGUUUAAAAAUAAUAAUUUAGAUUAUAUAUUAUUUUUAUAGUAUUAUAUAUUAUGAUUUUAGUAAAUUCAUAUAAUAGUAAUUAUAUUAAGAAUUUUAUUAAAUUAUAUUUAAUAAUAAUUAUGUUAAAAUAUGGUUAAAUUAUUUAUUAUCUUUAUUAAAUUAUUUUUAAUAAUAAUCUUUUUAAAAUUUAAUAACAAUAACAAAAAUCAUCUACUUAAAAAAGAUUCUGCUAAGGGUAUUCUAGUCAUUUUAGUUUUUUCCUUAUGCAAUUACAACAUCAUUCCAUUCAACCAAACACAAGAAUACCAUUACAGUUCUAUUCCGUUCCAUUCAACCAAACAAUUGAAUUACUGAUUACAGCUCUAUUCCAUUACAGUGAACCAAAUAUAUCCUUAGUAUGAAUGGCUGUCGAGGCAUGUAGAAAUUUGCACACAAAAGAACAAAAUUGUGCACUACUUAAAACUUCAAAGCAUGUGUGGCCUUAAUUUAAUUUUUCAUCUUUUUUAGCCCUUAAACCUACAUUGUUUAUCAGAUGAAAAAAUUAAUAUCUAUUAACUUUGCUAAUGUGCAAGCAUAUGCAACUUCUUUUAAAUCUAAAAAAUAUAAAAAUAAUUAAAUAUGUAUAAAUCUAAAGAUAUCUUAAACUUAAAACUAAAAUUUUUUAAACUAAUGCAAAUUUUUAUUAUUUAAAAAAUCUUAAAAUUUUCAAAUUAAAUUCCAUUUGUUUUCCACCGUUGAAGAACACCUUUAAUCACAACUUCAUGCUGUAUUGCCUAGAAAUUGUUUUGCAAAUUUAUUUUGUUUUAUUUAUUUCUAAACCCAUAUUUCUUUUCUAUAACUCCAAUUAUUAGAUUGUUUAGGGUUUUGAGUAACUUUCGAUUUUGGAAUUUUAGAUUUUUUAAAUUUAAAUAUGAAGUGCUCUUCUUCUUCUCCAAACCCACAAAUUUUUCUGCCAAAUUUCUACUCAAGGUUUUACUUUCAGCUAUAAAUAAAGCGUAUAUUAUAUUUAUAAUGAUCUAAGAAUAGUAGAGUCGAUGCCGAUCUACAUGAAAAAGGAUGAAAAAAAAAGGCAAAGAAUGAUAAUAUGAAGAGAGCAUAAAUCAAUAAAGCAAAUGAAAAACGAGCAGGAUUAAAGUAAAUGGGUAUUUAAUAUUUUUUUGUGAAAGUUCAAAGACUGAUUAUUUAUAAAAUUGGAUGUGGAAAAAUUAGUUGGAAUUUUUUUUCUUACACCAAUUGAUUUUUUAUAUAAAAUUUUUAUUUAUUUUUAAGUGUUGAAACCACUUUUUGAAAACAAAAAAAAAGUGUUACUUUUAUUUUGAAAACGGAAACGAAAAAAUGGGAGUCGCCACCGAUAUUUUUUUUGAGGUGUGAUCGGAUCACCUUAAAACAAUUUUGGUCUACGAAUAAAAAAAUGGGUCCGGGAGUCAAUUACGUAGGAGGAAGGAUUAGCACCCUCAUAACGCCCAAAAUUGAUACCGAAUUGCAUAAUUAAUGUCUUAAAGUCGAAUGUCGAAAAUUCAAAAAGAUUAAAAAUGAUCCCCUUUAAUUAAUGACAUAUUUUUAAACAAUAUUUGUAUAAAUUUGAUCAUAUGUAGAAAGGUCUUCUCAUCCUGAGUCAACAAAAUGUCGUAUCCCAUAAGUUAGGAUGCGACAUUUAGAUUUCCGAGCAUAAUCUAGCCUUUAAAACCCUUUAUUGAAACUUUAUGUAUUUGAAAACUAAAAAUGUUUGACCAUCUUGGUUCAAUGAGGAAAUCGAAAACCCGUAAGUUAGGACAAAUUUCCUCAAAGUUCCAAAGACGAUAUAUACGUUUGCCUUUAUUUAAAAAAAAAAGAUACUCGGUUACUUAAAUUCAACGAGGAAAAUUGGAGCCUAAUAAGUUAGGGCACAAUCUUCUCGAAAAUAUUGGAUACCGGGUAUUACGUUAUUUUGAAAACUUUGAAUAAAAUGAUUUCAAUACUUUGACUAAACGCAACAUUUUAAAUGAAUAAAAUGCGAUGGAACAAUAACGUAUAACGCGAAGUGAUAAUUCGUAAACUAAAAUAUACGCUAAUGAUCGACAAAGAAUCAAUGAAUACGAGUAAGCAAUACAAUACAUCAUAUAAGAGCAACAAUCUCAUAUCCCACAUUAUGCAAAUACUAACAUCCAUUUUAGCAAGCUAAAUGAAUUAAAAGUUAAUUAAAGAACAGCAAGCAAAUUAAUGUAAAUCUAAUAUAACAAGCUUUAAAAUAAAAUAAAAAUAAAAAUCAUGAAAAAGAGGAAAAUUCAAACACUAAAUUGUAUGUAUAAAAUAUUUGGCACAAAUAAUAUAUAGGAAAACUUGCAAUAAAAAAAUGAAGAAAAUAAAGAAUAAAUAAGAUGCAAAAUAAUACAUGUUCAUCUAAAUAAGUAGUACAUAUAAAAUAAAAUUUUAAUAUAAAUGUUGAAAUAAACAAAGCGUGUAAUUGAACAUCAUUUCCACUAACUAGAUCCUUCUUCGUCAACUGCUGCGAUUGCCUUUCUUUGACUUUCUUUUUCGCCUCUUCUCAUGUUGGUUUUCAACCAAAUUCACCAACCAUUUCGGUUUUCCAGUUUGGAAAACAACAUAUCCCACCAACAUUCCGAACACUACUCCGCAUCCAUAACCUAUCAACACCACUUUCCAACCAAAAGUAAUGUUUGAUUUUGAGCCAUCUUUUUCAAGCACAUCUGGAGGUGUUGGCGCAAUGAUGUUGCAACCUUUCGAGACCGGAAACCCACAUAUGAAUCAUUUCCAAAUGUGUUGAAUUGUUUGCCUUGAGGAAUCUGACCAUGGAGUUGAUUUUCAGAAACAUUUAAGGACAAAAGAAAUGGCAGAUCUACCAAUCUAUUUGGAAUGGUUCCAGACAACCUGUUUGAAGAUAGUGUUGGCACAUAAUUAAAUUAACCUUGCACAAAUAAAUUAUGAAAAGUUAGAAGAGUGAAGAGACUUGAAUAUGAAAAGUGAAAAAACUUGAAUAUGAAUAGUGAAGAGACUUGAAGAUGAAAAGUUAAGAGGCUUGAAUAUGAAAAGAUACACACAUGCAUGAAUAGUCACAACUCCUAGCAUAUAGUGAUAUAGAUGAAUAGUCACUUACAACUCCUAUAUAAAGAGUUGUAUGUGAUGAAGAAUUAUUAACUUUGUGUGCUUGAAAUAAAAGAUUAUUUGAAAGAAUUUUUUCAUACAAAAUUUAUUUCUCUUCUCCAUUAUAUUCUUUAUCAUUUUCUUUGUUUUAUUUCUCCAAAUAUUAAUCAUUCAACUACAAAUUGGUAUCAAAGCCUUGUUCAAUCGAAAUGAACAAUUCUAUUCCUCUUUCUUCCGUUCCCCAAUUAACCAAAGAAAAUUAUGGCAAAUGGAGUAUCCAAAUGAAGGCUCUUCUUGGAUCUCUAGAAGUUUGGGAGAUUGUUGAAAAAGGUUAUAAUGAAGUUGAGGGUGAAGAGGAGGAAGGAUUAACACAAGUUCAAAAAGAGAGUCUAAGAAAAUCAAGGAAGAAAAAUCAGCAAGCCUUAUUUUGGAUAUAUCAAGGAGUUCAAUCAUAUGAAGCGGCUUGGGAAAAAAUAGCUUGUGCCACCACGGCAAAACAAGCAUGGGAAUUUUUACAAAAUUCAUUCAAAGGAGAUGAAAAGGUGAAAAGAGUUCGGUUGCAAACUCUUUGAGGAGAGUUUGAAAGAUUGCAAAAAAUAGAGUCAGAAUCAGUUUCUGAUUACUGUUCACGGGUUUUGUCCAUAGUCAAUCAAUUAAAAAGAAAUGGUGAAACUAUGGAUGAUAUUCGUGGUGUUGAGAAAAUCCUCCGUUCUUUAGAUUCCAAAUUUGACUACAUUGUGGUUGCCAUAGAAGAAUCAAAGGACUUGAGUACCAUGACUAUUGAUGAACUCACAGGUUCGUUGCAAGCCCAUGAAGAAAGAUUAAACAAGAAGAAAAAGGAAGUAGAUCUAGAUCAAGCACUUCAGUCAAAGUUGUCUCUAAAUGAGAAUAAGGGAGAUUUUAAAAAUCAAAGAGGGAGAGAUCGUGGUCGUGGAAGAGGAAGAAAUUUUAGAGGAAGAGGCUCAAAUGCUCGUGAAAGAGGUGAAGAUGUAAGCAUGGAGAAUGGAUGGAAAGAAGCCAACCAAAGUCAAAAUUUUAGAGGAUCACAAAGAGGACGUGGACGUAGAAAUCAAAGAGGAAGAGGUCGUGGCUAUUUUGAAUGUUAUAAUUGUCGCAAACCUGGUCAUUUGGCAAGUGAAUGCUGGUACAAAGAAGAAGAGAAAAAUGAAGCUAAUAUAGUACAAAAUAAUCAAGAGCAAAAGCAAGAAACUUUGUUGCUCGUAUCUCAUGGUGGAGAGAUUGAUGAUGUCUGGUACAUAGACAGUGGUGCUAGCAAGCAUAUGACAGGUAACAAAAAUUUAUUUUCGAAGUUCUUUGAAUCUGAUUGUGGAGAAGUAAAAGUAGGAGAUGGCAAAGCUUACAAAGUUAGCGGUGUUGGUGAGUUGGAGUUCAAAACAAAGCAAGGAAGGGUAGAGAAAAUGUCUGAAGUUUAUUUUGUUCCUGGUCUUAAAAAUAAUCUGCUUAGCGUUGGGCAUCUCUUGAAGAAGGGGUAUGAUAUUCAUUUCCGAGACAUGGCUUGCUAUUUAUCAAAGAAAAAUCAGGUUGUUGCUAGAGUUGGAGUGGCAUCAAAUAAUCUUUUCUCUCUUACCCUUCAAAAUCAGAAUAUGUCUUGUUUUAUUGGUGCUCAUAAAGGAAUUUCAAAGUUAUGGCAUGAUAGAUAUGGACAUUUAAACUAUGGAAAUUUGGAGAUGCUUUCAAGGAAGAUGAUGGUUAGAGGUUUACCAAAAAUCGAUCGGCUUGAUGAUGUUUGUGAAGCAUGUCAACUUGGAAAGCAACAUAAAAUUGCUUUUCCUUCUCAAUCCUCGUGGAAAGCAAGAAGACCAUUGCAACUUAUUCACUCAAAUCUUUGUGGUCCAAUGACAGUUUCAUCUUUAGGAGGUAAUCGUUACUUUAUCUCUUUCAUUGAUGAUUACUCAAGAAAGUUAUGGGUGUAUUGUGUCAAAGAAAAAUCAGAGGCUUUUCAGAGAUUCAAAGAUUUCAAGGCAGAAGUGGAGAACUUUACUGGGUUGAAAAUUAACACCUUGCGUACAGAUCGUGGAGGUGAAUAUUUUUCAAAAGAAUUUGAGAAAUAUUGCCGAGAUAGUGGCAUCCGGCAUGAAAUGACAGUCCGCCAUACACCUCAGCAAAAUGGUGUGUGUGAAAGAAAGAACAGAACAAUUAUGGAAAUGGCUAGAUGUCUUCUUAAUAAGAAGAGGUUAUCAAGAAGAUUUUGGGCUGAAGUUGUUUCCUGUGCAGUUUAUCUUAUAAACAGAUCACCGACAAGAAGCUUGGAGAAUUACACACCACAUGAGGCGUGGUAUGGUAUAAAGCCUAGUGUUAGUCAUCUUAGAGUAUUUGGGAGUGUUGCCUACUCUCUAUUCCAGAUGCAAUGAGAAGCAAGUUGGAUGACAAGUCAGAGAAAUGCAUUUUUAUUGGCUAUAGUGAAAGAAGUAAGGCAUACAAGUUGUAUAAUCCGGUGACAAAGAAGAUUGUGAUAAGCCGAGAUGUUCGGUUUGAUGAAAAUUCCAUGUUUGAAGAUAUGGAAGUUGAAAAGGAAAAUUUGCCAAUUUUUCCUUUUGAACUUGAAGAAGAAGAAGAGGCAGUAAUUGAGAAUGCUGAAGAUGAUGCUCAAGUAGAAAAUCCUCCUGCUUCCCCAUGUUCUUCAUCAAAUUCUUCUUCAUCCAGCCCGAUCCGAAAAACGAGAAGCAUCCAAGAGUUAUAUGAUGUAACGGAUGAAGUUGUGCAAAAUGAUGCUGUAUUCUUUGCCUUCUUUGCAGGAGAAGAUCCAAUUUCUUUUGAUGAUGCAUAUCAAGAAGAAAUAUGGAGGAAAGCCAUGAAAUAAGAGAUUUUCUCAAUUGAAAACAAUGAUACAUGGGAACUCACAGAUUUACCGCCGCACAAGAAUUCAAUUGGAGUCAAAUGGGUGUACAAGACAAAGAUGAAUCCGAAUGGCUCUAUCAACAAGUACAAGGCAAGACUGGUUGCAAAAGGAUACAAGCAAAAGGAAGGAGAAGAUUUUACAGAGGUAUUUGCUCCAGUUUCAAGACUUGAGACAGUUCGGUUACUUAUUUCUCUUGCUGCCCAAAAUAAUUGGAAAAUAUUCCAAAUGGACGUAAAAUCUGCGUUUUUGAAUGGUGUUCUCAAAGAAGAAGUCUAUGUUGAUCAACCACCAGGGUUUGUCAAAAAAGGAGAAGAAGAAAAAGUUUACAAGUUGAAGAAAGCUUUGUACGGGUUGAAGCAAUCACCCAGAGCAUGGUACAGCCGCAUCGAUUCUUAUUUUCAGAAGUGUGGAUUCCAGAAAUCUCCAUAUGAGCAUACUCUCUACAUCAAAGGCAAUUAUCAAGGAAGAUUCAUGGUUGUAAGUCUCUACGUUGAUGAUCUUAUUUUCACAGGAAAUGAUGUGAAGAUGUUGAAAGAAUUUCAGCACUCAAUGAUGGCAGAAUUUAAGAUGACAGAUUUGGGAGAACUUCAUCAUUUUCUUGGCAUUGAAGUUCAUCAAUCCGAGAAAGGAAUUUUUAUUUCACAAGAGAGCUACGCAAAGGAAGUUCUAAAAAAAUUCAUGAUGGAAAAUGCGAAUCCAGUCUCUACUCCAUGCAUUACAGGUCUGAAGUUAUCUAAAGAGGGUGAAGGAAAGCUUGUCAAUUCCACCAUAUUCAGAAGUUUGGUUGGGAAGUUGAUGUAUCUGACUUCGACAAGGCCUGAUAUCGUGUAUGUUGUUAGCUUGGUAAGUAGAUUCAUGGAGAAACCUUACUCCAAUCACUGGGAGGCUGCCAAGAGAAUAUUGAGAUAUGUGAAGGGAACCAUUGAUUAUGGAAUUUUCUAUAAAUCUAAUACAUUAGUUGAUCUCAUUGGUUAUACGGAUAGUGAUUUAGCAGGAAGCAUUGAUGAUAGCAGAAGCACUUCUGGUUAUGUUUUUCACCUUGGUAGUGGUGCAGUUUCAUGGAGUUCAAAGAAACAAUCAAUUGUGGCGCUUUCGACUAUAGAAGCUGAAUAUAUCGCUGCAUCUUAUGCAGGAUGUCAAUUGAUUUGGUUACGUGGAAUUUUGGAAAGUCUUAAGCAGAAGCAAAGCAAGUCAACAAUUUUGUUUUGUGACAAUAGUUCUACUAUUUCGGUCACAAAAGAUCCAAUUCUUCAUAGAAGGACAAAACACAUUCGCAUUCGAUAUCACUUCUUGAGAGAACUAGUGAAUAAUGGUGAUGUUCAAGUUGAAUAUUGCAAGACGGAAGAUCAGAUGGCUGAUAUCUUCACAAAGCCUCUAAGUGGACAAGUCUUCAAGAAAAAUGUUGAAAGGUUGGGAGUUCAAAGCAAGUUUAAUUUAAGGGAGGCAUUGUUGGCACAUAAUUAAAUUAACCUUGCACAAAUAAAUUAUGAAAAGUUAGAAGAGUGAAGAGACUUGAAUAUGAAAAGUGAAAAAACUUGAAUAUGAAUAGUGAAGAGACUUGAAGAUGAAAAGUUAAGAGGCUUGAAUAUGAAAAGAUACACACAUGCAUGAAUAGUCACAACUCCUAGCAUAUAGUGAUAUAGAUGAAUAGUCACUUACAACUCUUAUAUAAAGAGUUAUAUGUGAUGAAGAAUUAUUAACUUUGUGUGCUUGAAAUAAAAGAUUAUUUGAAAGAAUUUUUUCAUACAAAAUUUAUUUCUCUUCUCCAUUAUAUUCUUUAUCAUUUUCUUUGUUUUAUUUCUCCAAAUAUUAAUCAUUCAACUACAGAUAGGUCCAACCAUUCAAGACUUGUCAAAUCCCCUACUGAGGUAGGGAUACCACUAUUAAGGUUAUUAUGAGAAAGGUUGAGCCCUUUCAGUAAGUUAAGCUUCCCAAUAACCUUUGGAAUCUCCCCUUCAAACUGAUUGCUUGAUAGAUCAAUGAUCACCCACAUAGUGAAAAUUUUCACCAAUUCCACGUCUUGUCCUUUCAUAACAAUUCCAAUGGAAUAGGCAUAGAAGUCAUCUCCAUCAUUCACCCCCAUGUACGACACUGUACUACUAACCUUCUCUAGAUUUAUGAUAGCCUUGAAGCUGUUGAUGUAUCUCACUAGUAGGGGUCCAGAAAAAUAAUUACUUGAGAGGUCAAAAAUUUGGAUUUUAGAGAAAAAAGGGCUAGACUUGGAGUUAUUGACACACAGGGAACCAUGCAUUUGAUUUGACUUUAGUACAAGAACUUGUAGCUGUGGAAGACUUCCCAACCAAUGAGGAAAUGUAUCAUUGAUCUUGUUGUUACCAAGAUCUAGUACUUCCAGACCUCUACAAUUAAGGAUGGAUGGUGUCAAAGGCCCUCCUAACAGAUUUCCAUUUAAAUUGAAAUUACUCAAUUGGCAUCCCAUUGCAAAUGUUGGAGGAAUCGUCCCAUAGAACUUGUUCUUCUUCAGAUUCAAGAAUUGAAGGCUGUUGCUCAAAUUUCCAAAACACUGCGGAAUUGUUCCACUCAAGUAAUUGUGGGACAAAUCAAGAAUUUGAAGAUAAGUGGCAUUGCAUAUUAAUGAAGAGACCUCUCCAUUGAAACAAUUAUUUGAGAUCAAAAAGACAGUGAUGGUCGAAGCUGGAAUCGGAAGAUUUCCACUGAUCAAAUUGGAGCUUAAGUCAAGAACAUCAAUAUUCUUCCAUGGAAAGUGCUCAGCUUCUGUCAAAGAGUUGUGAAAUACAUUUAAGUAAGUCAAAGAGCCAUUCCCCACCUCUUGCAUCCACUAUGGAAUCUUGCCUUUAAUUUUGUUGCAAGAGAGGUCUAAGCUUUCCAAACUUUUAAGCCCUUUUAAAAAUUGGGGGAAUUCACUAAGAUUGCAAGAUGACAAAAAUAACCAUUCAAGAUUUCCACUGAUCAAAUUGGAGCUUAAGUCAAGAACAUCAAUAUUAUGACGAUAUAUAAGUUUCCCUUUAUUUUUUAAAAAAAAACCUCGUCUCGAGAUAUCGAAAGGUCAUAUCCAAUGAGUUAGGACACAACGUUUUGAAUUCCCGAGAUAAGCUUUAAUUUGAAAUUUUUAUAUUUUAAUUAAAAAAUGAUACUCAGUUACUUAAAUUCAACGAGGAAAAUUGGAGCCCAGUAAGUUAGGGCACAUUCUUCUCGAAAAUCUUGGAUACCGGGUAUUACGUUAUUUUGAAAACCUUUGAAUAAAACGAUUUCUAUACUUUGAUUAAAUGCAACCUUUUAAACGAAUAAAAUGCGAUGGAACAAUAACAUACAACCCGAAGUGAUAAUUCGUAAACUAAAAUAUAUGCUAAUGAUUGACAAGGAAUCAAUGAAUACGAGUAAGCAAUACAAUACAUCAUAUAAGAGCAACAAUCUCAUAUCCCACAUUAUGCAAAUACUAACGUCCAUAUUAGCAAGCUAAAUGAAUUAAAAGUUAAUUAAAGAACAGCAAGCAAAUUAAUGUAAAUCUAAUAUAACAAGCUUUAAAAUAAAAUAAAAAUAAAAAUCAUGAAAGAGAGGAAAGUGCUAAGGGAUAAGAUUGAAGGCCCGUAAUAUGAUCGCAAGACAAAGAAGCACGCUCUGUUAUGGAAAAAGAGUUCUUGAACUGGAUUAAUGAAGAGCAGGAGUGAGAUCCUGAAGAAGAAAAAGAAGCAUAAAGAUGGGGAAAAAAGAGGAAUAGGGAGAGAAAGAGAUAGGAGGCCAUGUUAUGUUUGUAGAGGAAGAAGGAUAGGAAUGGUAUUUAUAGGCAACAAAUAAUACCACAACAUUGGUGUUACAGUCUUUUUUUUCUUUUACAUUGAAAUGCUACAGAUAUUAGAUUUUCAAAAUAUUUGUAUUUUUCACAAUCAUCAACACUUAGUCGUCAUUUUACCAUAUAUUUUUCAUUCUUUUUUUUUUUAACAAAAUCUUGUAUAUCAUUUGGACUCGCUAAACAACUAAAAAAAUAAAGAUUGAUGAGAUUACAAAGUAGAUUGACUUAGUCUUCUUCCCUAUAACAUGUAAAGAAUGUAUGUGUCUAUUCAAUUGCCUGUCAACCAAAGCUUAUUAAUGUGGAAAUUCUUUUCCACACAAAAGAACAAAAUUGUGCUCUAUUCAGCUACGUUUGAGGAAGGAGACGGCUGGAAAUUUAAUCCACCGAUUCCAUAAAAACGUGUAUAUUUAUUUAUAAAUAUAUAUAUAACCUCAUGAUUCAAAUCUAAAAUCUCAUUUGUUAUAAAUUCUUAUAAAUUUAUUUGGGAAUAGUUAUUUUUCAUUCGUUAAUUAUUUCUCUUUUAGCCGUGAAACUUAUAUGGUUCGUUAAAUCGCCCCAAAAAAUGAUAAAAAAGAUUAACAAAACUAGCCCCUACGUGGCUGAUGUUGACCCUUAGUAGUUAAUGGCAACUCCUAUGUAAUUGUUAACAGAUACCACAGCAACAAUGUUUGUUGACGUGACAAUGCCACAUGACCAAUAAUCGUUGUCAUGGUAGUGCCACGCCGUCACCCAUUGAUGACAUAUUAACCUUCGAGUUAAACUCAAAUUGCUCUUUCCUUUGUUAUAAAUUAAGAGUAUAACUAAUUUUGAUAAGAAUAGUUACUUUUCAUUAACUCAGUUUAAAGGACUAUAACACGUAAAGUUUGGUCUAUUGCAGAAUUCACAUGCAAUGCGGGAUAUUUACAUUUUGAAGAAUUCAACACAUAUAUGGGAAUUUUUGUAUUUCCACAAUCAUAAUUUUGUUAGUGAUCAACAACUACUUCCUCCUUACCAUAUAUUUUUCAUUCAUAAAAUUGAUUACUUUUUUUAUCAAAGAAGUAAAAUAAUUAACAUUCUUAAGAUUACAAAGUCUUCUUCCUUAUAACACGUAAAGUUUAGUUCCAAAUAAUUUUCCACAAAAAAAAGACCAUCAAUUGUCGAUUGACUAUACUUUAACUCCAAAAAAAAGACUAAGACUAUCAAUUGUCUAUUGACUACACUUUAACUCGACAAAAAAGGACUAAGACUAAGACUUUCAAUUGUCUAUUGACUUCACACUUGCGGUUGCUUCCUCCUAUCUCUCUCACCCAAACUUAAUUUAGAAGCAAUGGGGAAAUUUUGGACAUUUGGGCCACAAUGAACAAUACUUCCACACCAUUUGCAGUAUUGACUACGUUUACUUGAGGGAAAACAAAGACAUGAAUGCUGGAAAUUUUAACUAGUUUGUACCGUCAAUGAAGCUACGUACCUAAAAGCCUUUUAGGAUAUCAAUUCCUGUAAUUGGAUUAAUCUCAUCGUUGCUGCAAUCUUUUGACAGUGUAAUCGAAUCUUAAAUAUGUUACUCUGCAAUGCUGUUGUAAAAAUUACUCUUAAAAUUGUCGAUAGAUAUAUAGGUUUGGCACAAAAUUAAGAAUACACAAAGGCAGGUUGAAUUAUUCCAUGUUUGAACAUAAAUUCAUAUGGCAAAAGGGCCCAAACCAUACCUUAUGUUCAUGAAUUCUCAUCAUCACAUGUUUAUAAAUGCAUCUCAAAACUUGAAUAAUUGAAUCUUUUGUAAUUCUACAUGUAUUUUUUUUUAUGGUGAGCAGUAUAAUGUUUACUAAAAAUUGAAAUUCAAGAAAGAAGACAUACAUAGUUGCACCAUACAAGUUGUUACACUCGAACUAAACCCUUACAAAUAGUACGAGAUGCAAUGAAAUACAGAGGAAUUGGUACAAUCAUAAAGACAGACACAUACCAAUGCAACUUUUCACCAUAGGAAAAACUUUCUGACAGACUACUAAACAAGAAAUUAUGAAGACACAGCAGAAAUGCUUUGACUUCUUUUGCACCAACUAGAUCCUUCUUCAUCCAUUGAUGCGAUUGCUAUAUUUUGGCUUUCUUCUUCGCCUCUUCUCAUGUUGGUUUUCAACCAAAUUCACAAACCUUUUCACCUUACCGGUUUGGAAAACAACAUAUCCCAUGGCCAUUCCAAACACUACCCCGCAUCCACAACCUAUCAACACCACUAUCCAACCAAAAGCAAUGUUUGCUUUUGAGCCAUCCUUUUCCAGCACAUUUGGAGGUGGUGUCUCAUUGAUGCUGCAACCUUUGGAGACUGGGAAUCCACAUAGUCUCUGUUUCCUUCAUAUGAAUUGUUUCGAAAUGUAUUGACAAUCUGACCAUGGAGUUGAUUUUCAGAAACGUUUAAGAAGAAAAGAAAUGCCGGAUCUGCCAAUAUCUCUGGAAUUAACUCAGUUCAAAUGACCAUAUAACUCGUAAAGUUUGGUCGAAGACUGGCAGCGUCUAUUGACUUCAACUCUUGCUAUUACCUCAAGAAGAAAGACUGCUACAAUUCUAUCUUCUUUAAACCAGCUAUUUAAAAGCAAUAAGGACAUUAAAUCCACCAAUUUAUCUUUGAAGUCAUUCGUCAUGCAGCUCUGCUAUGUACGAUUAUUGGCAAAAAUCUUGAAAGGAGACAACCUCAAAUUUGAAGACAAGAAAUGAGCAAGAACAUGCACCAACGAAGAAUCGAUUAUUGUUUUGUAUUUGGUAAAUACAAUUUGAGUUAAAUAAUCAAGAAUGAUAGUGAAUAAAUAAGGAAAAACAAUGUAGAUUCAGAACCACAAUAAAUCAUAUUAAGCUCAUGAGUUUAUAAUAUAUAUCUCUGCAGCUUGAUUGCCUUGUUAGCUAUAAACAUAACCUGUUAAUUCCAUCAUUAAUACCAUUAGAUAUAUUUUGAUGGGGGAGAUUUUUUAGUAGGAAAACAGUUGAAGUCAUUCAAGAAGACAUAAACAGCUGCAACUACGUAAGAGUUUAACUUUGAGAAUAGAUCCUUACACGUUAUUGAAAUGCCAUACUAAAGAUAAAGACAUAUAGCUAAACGUUAGACACACCAUAAAAAUAUAUAUAGGUAAAGUGAUAGGGUGUGAGUAAGGAGGCCAUGCUAUGUUUUCAAAUAAGAUUAUCAUGGUAUGAAUUAUGAGAACCCUAUUUAUAGGAAGAACAAAACCGAUAUGAAACUAAGAAUAUAGUCCAUUGAUAAUGAAGAAUCUAAGAAAUUUAAUGGAAAUUGUGGAUAAGCAUCGUGUUUUUAUCUCUGAUGGAGAAAAGCUAAGAGUGUGAGGAAGACCAACUGUCAAUGUCACCCAAACCGAAUCUACAAGUCACCACAAUGUACAGUAAUUCAAAGCAGGAAAAGUUCAUAGUUUCAGAGUAAAUAACACUUCAAUGAUUGUAUUAUAGAAAACAUGUGUAUCCUAUAUAUGUUGAACAAUAUUAUCUAACAAACAUAUUUUCCAAAAGACUAGAAAAUUUGUGAUUAAAUGCUAAAGUUACAUAUUUUAUGUAAUUAAAUUGGUUAAUUUAUGAGAGUGCACCACUAAUUUUUCCAUGUUUUUGUUGAAUUUUGUGCAGGGGUGCAAUUUGGGGCUAAAUAGAAGAAAAAGGAAACAAUUGGGCUAGAUUGAAGAGAGAAGCAAAGAAGGAGGGCCAAAACAGAAUUUUUCCAGAUUAAUUAGCUGAAAUUUUUGUUGACUUAGUGGGAGAUUAUUUUGGGAUUUUUUUUUAUAUCAUGGAAUAUUUUUCCUUAAUUUUCUAUACUAGUUGGCUUUUAAUUUAGCAAGGCCACUAGUAUAAAUAGAGGCUACAUUGUUCAUUUUAAUCAUCAAGUCUUGAAUCAAUUCAUAAAUCAAGCUUUCAUCUUUCAAUACAUUCUCUCUUUUCUACUCACAAAUUUAUUUGUUGUUUUUAGUUUCAUUUACUUUCAAUCCAUUAAUUUCCAGCUUGUUACCACUUAAACCAUUUUCAAUUUCUUUUUCAAACUUUCUUUCCAUCUCCAGUAGCUAAUUCACUUUAUUACACCCCCAAAAUUCCAGCCCCCCAAACUAAAUCACGCCACCCAUUCCUUUCACCCAUUUUACCUUAUUUAAUUUAUCCAAUACCAACAUGCCCCAAACCUUAGCCAACUAAAUUCAUUUCCAGCUUUAGGUCGGAAUUAGCCUCGUCAAAACCCGUGAGUUACGAACCCGAGCAAAUUAACUCCUAAAUUUUAGUACUUAUUAUUUCUCCGGAUUAAGAGUAUGAUUUUGUCAACUCACAAAGUCAGAUCAACAUUAAGUUAAAAAAGACGUCGUUUGAUUUAGUGUGGUUAGACGUACAGUUGGAAUUCCAAAAAGAUCGAUUCUAAUCGGUUUUCUGUGAACACAUUGGCGUGCCAAUUGGAGAUUGCUGUUUGGUUCCGUCAAGGGAAGUAGUAACCCGAUUUAAAUGUCCCACGCGGUUGAGGGCAUUGGUUCGAGCUAGGGUUUUCUAGAACGCAAAGCUGCCGGAGUUCUAAAUCACGAACAUUUCGUGGUUGUUCGAUCAGUAAGGGUUAGUUAUUGGACGUUCCAUAACUAAUUUACACAAGGAAGAGUUAGUGUCUGAGGCGUCCUUGGUAGCUAUAACUAGCUUAUUGGAAAAGAGGAGUUCAUCUAAUUUUGAGAAUCGGUUCAAAGACGAGGAAAAUUCGUGCCUAAAGCUGAGCUUAUUCUAAUUAAAUUUUCUUCAUAUUUAUUUAACUAUUUUAAUUAUUCUGUUUUCAACUUUAUCUUUUCACGCAUUUUAUUUAUUUAUUUCAGGUCUUCAAAUUUUAUCCCCCCGAACUUCUUGGGCACGACAACUGCCCCAACAUAAAUCUGGUCAAAAUAGAAACAAUUUGCAGUAAACCCAGUCUCUGAGGGAUCGACCCUACUCCCUAUACUGUUUAAAUCGCAAAUUAGGCGUAGGUUUAUAUUGGUGGAUUCGACACCCAUCAAUUUGUAUGUCAUUUUCUAUUACUUGCAAGAAAACUACAGGGGAAAUUGCAUUUCUAAUUCAUCCAUAGGCUUUAAAUUCAAACAAGAAAAAGGAAAAAGAAUAUAUAUAUAUCAACAGGAAACUUCAAGGAGAGAAAUUUUGUUACAUCAAUUUUCCAGUCAUAUUUAAUCUUUACCCAAAGUUGAUUCUAGAUUAAAUUUGGAAAAAAUUAAAAAAGAGGACAUGUAUUUUUUUUUAUUUUUGAAAAGUAAAGGAUUAUAUCUCAGCCAAAUAAAAAAGUCACAAUGCAAAGCCAAGAGCCAAAGCCAAGCCAAGCACACACUCAACUAGCAGACAUAACUCAUACAGGACCUAGAUGUAUUAUUGAACUCUUAUAUAAAAGACAACUGAAGAUGCAAAGCUUAAUUGUUAAGCUUUUCUGAUGCUUGAUAAGCAUAGUUUUAGUUCAGUUCCGAAAUCUAAACUGCUUUGCUAUGGGAUUAUUUUUAUAAGUACAUUGAGAUCAAUGCAUGCUAUUGCGAUUUAUUAUCUUUGAUGCCAAGGAAAUGACAGAAUUCAAAGACCAAAAGGUUCGAUUACAUACUAGAUCAUGGAUGUAAGCCAAUCUACAACCUCUCUCCUCGACCUCCAUGUGAAACCAGCAUGAUUUGAAUUCUCAGCCGCAUAUACCCUCACAAACUCCUCAGCAACAACAUAAAACAUAUACCUAACACUCCUUUGAGAACCGAUAACUGCACAGACAGAUUCACUAAUGGAAGCCUUCAAGAAAUAUUGAACCACACAAUUACCACACUUCUGUGAAAUAAACUUGUUGGUGCAAAGAGACAACAAUAGACUGUUUUCAAUCUUGCUUGUAUAGCAAGCCUCGAGCCUUGCUGAAGAAACAAACUCAAAAGCAAGAACAGAAACACAUGCGAAUGAAAAACAAAAGAAAUUGAGAGAGAGAGUAUUUUGAAUGAAAAGAGCUGAUAUUUCAUUAACAAAUCCAGAAGGCAUAAUGCCAUUACAUAUAAUAGAUAACAACAACAAAAUGAACAAGUCUUUACCUAAUGACAUACCUAACACCACUAAAUUUACAUUGGAAAUUGUUAAUCAGCUUGCUUAAGUUUCUUUGCUGAUUUUUUCAGUCAAUCAAUCAACAAAAAACAUCAUAAGGUUUACCAACUUAGUUCAACAUGAACUAGAUUACAAAAUAAUAAUUAAAAAUACAAUCAAAACAUAACAAGUAGUUAGGCAACUUUAAGCUCCAGUUUCUGCACUUCAUAGCUCGACUGCUUGCUGCCACUUCUCCUUGCAUGGCCACCUUUGCAUGUCUUGCAUGGGAACUAAAUUCAACACUCCUCCUUAGUUUCCAUGCUAGUGACACCUAAUUGCCUUCUUAAUUUAACAAAUUUAGACACAUUGAGUGCCUUUGUAAAGAUAUCAGCAAUUUGCUCUUCUGAAUUGCAAUGAACCAGCUCGAUUUCAUGAGCUUGCUCCAUCUCCCUUAUGACAUGUAGCUUGAUGUUGAAGUACUUUGCUCUACCAUGAAAGAUAGGAUUCUUUGCAAUUGCAACAGCAGAUUUGUUGUCACAGUAAAUCUCUGUUGCCUUUCCUUGAUUUUGAUUUAAAUCAGCUAGGAUUUUUCUAAGCCAUAUGGCUUGAUUUACAGCAGAUGCAGCAGCAACAUAUUCAGCUUCUGCUGUUGACUGUGCUACCAGACUUUGCUUUUUAGAACUCCAGCAAAACAUGCCUGAGCCAAGACUAAAGGCAUAUCCAGAUGUGCUUCUCAUGUCAUCACAAGAUCCAGCCCAGUCACUAUCAACAUAGCCUAUUAGCUUCAUGUUUAUAGCCCUUUUGAACAAUACACCAUGAUCAAUGGUGCCUUUGAUGUAUCUAAGCACUCUUUUAGCUGCUUGAAAGUGCUGAUCAUUGCAGCAAUUCAUGUAUCUGGAUAGCACACUAACAGCAAACAUGAUAUCGGGUCUUGUUGCAGUCAAAUACAACAGACUACCAAUGAGACUUUUGUACAUAGUCUCGCAAAUUGGUUCACCACUCCCUUGCCUCGAAAGCUUCACUCCAACAGCCAUUGGUGUGCUUGUUGGCUUGCAGUUCUUCAUAGAGAACUUAUCCAGGAUCUUCAUAGUAAAAGAACUCUGACUAAGAAAGAUUCCCUUUGCUGUUUGCUUCACUUCCAUUCCAAGGAAGUAGUUCAUUCUGCCUAAAUCAGACAUUUCAAACAUUUCCAUCAUUUUUCUUUUGAAAUCUUCCAGCAUUCUUCUAUCUCCUCCAGUCACCAAUAAAUCAUCAACAUAGAGUGACAGGAUAAGCUGAGUUUCAGCUUGGUUCUUCUUCACAUACAGUGUUGGUUCACUGAGACUUCUCUCGAAUUCCAAACUGAGCAAGUAAGAAUCAAUUCGAGCAUACCAGGCUCAAGGAGCCUGUUUUAGGCCAUACAAAGCCUUUUUCAGUCUGUACACCUUGUGUUCUUUGCCAGUGACCACAAAUCCUUGAGGCUGUUCGAUGUAGAUCUCUUCUUCCAGGAAACCAUUGAGAAAUGCAGACUUAACAUCAAGCUGAUGAAUGGUCCACUGAUGUUGAGCAGCCAAGGCAACUAUCAUUCUAACUGUGUCAAGCCUGGCUACUGGUGCAAAUGUCUCCAGAUAGUCCAGACCAUACCUUUGGCUAAAACCUUUGACAACAAGCCUGGCUUUUAGCUUGUUCAGACUGUCAUCUGCAUUCUGUUUUGCUCGAUAGACCCAUUUUACUCCAAUGGUCUUCUUUCCAGUAGGUUUAUCAACUAGCUCCCAUGUCUGGUUCUUCUCAAUCAUGUUGAUUUCAUCGACCAUAGCUAGUUUCCAGCCUUCAUCUGCCUCAGCCUCUUCAAAACUGCUAGGUUCUGCUAUUGCAACCUGUGCCCUUUCAUAAAUAUCAUCUAGGGGCCUUGUGCCUCUCACAAGCACAUCAUCAACAUCCAUUUCAGGUCCUAGCUGCUCAAGUUCAGCUUGAUUAGGCACCAGGUCUUCUGAAGCAGCUUCUGGUUCAUUCUUUUCCCAAUUCCAACAAGCCUUCUCAUCGAAGAUGACAUCUCUGCUCACUUGAACUAUGUUUGUCAAAGGAUCCAGCACCCUGUAGCCCUUCUUAACUGAGCUAUAGCCUACUAGAACACCUGGUUGAGCCCUUUCAGAGAGCUUGUCUCUCUUAACUGCUGGUAUUUGUGCAUAACACAGGCAACCAAACACCUUCAGAUGUACCAAGGAAGGCUUGAAACCGGACCAAGCCUCGAAAGGUGUUUUGGAUGCAAGAGCUUUGGUAGGAAGCCUAUUUUGAAGGUAGACAGCAGUGUUUACUGCCUCAGCCCACAUGGUCUUGGGCAGUUUCUUCUCAAACAGCAGGCACCUGGCCAUAUCCAUCAAGCUUCUGUUCUUUCUUUCUGAUACCCCAUUCUGCUGAGGUGUGUAGACAUUUGUAAGCUGGUGUUUGAUACCAGCAUCAUUGCAAAUGGCUUGAAACUGAGCUGAAGUGUACUCAGUGCCAUUGUCUGACCUUAUCGAUUUCAGCUUGCAACCUGUUUCUGUCUCUACAGCAAUUUUAAACUUCACAAACACUUGAGCUACCUCAAACUUGUGUUUUAAGAAGAAAAUCCAGCAAAACCUUGUAAAAUCAUCAAUGAAGAGGAUGAAAUACCUAUUUUUCUUGAGUGAUUCAGUCCUCAUCGGGCCACAUACAUCAGAGUGCACCAGCUGUAGUUUUUUAGUAGCUCUCUAAGCUGAAUUUGUAGGAAAUGGCAGUCUUGCCUGUUUCCCCAUCUGGCAAACUUCACACACAUCAUCAUGCUCCACUGAGCUAGUAAAGUUCUCUGCCAAGCCUUCUUUGGCCAUUCGAGCCAAUGAUCUGAAGUUGGCAUGCCCAAGCCUUUGAUGCCAAAGCUUGGAAUCAUCAACAGAGGCUGUAUAUGCAGACUUUGAGUCAUUUGGCCAGUGUACCUCAAAGCAUUUGUUAGUCAUUGUGACUGUCAUAAGGCUUGAUCCACUUGGAUCAGCAAUGUGGCACUGUUUGUUCUUGAACACAACAGAAUAGCCUUUCUUGAGCAAUUGAGCUAUGCUGAGAAGGUUUCUGUCGAUUUCUGGCACUAACAGCACAUUUGGAAUGAUCUUGUUGCCUGUGGGGGUACAUAUCAGCACCUCUCCUCUUCCUUCAGCCCUUAUGAACUGACCAUUUCCAACCUUGACCUUGGUUUUACAACUUCUAUCCAAGGUUUUAAAUAAGGAGGCAUCUGGUGACAUGUGGUUAGUGCAACCACUGUCCAAUAACCAGCCUUUUGAGCAUUUCUUCUCAGCAGCUAAGAAAGAAACAGCAAAGACCUGCUCUUCUUGAUCACUACUGUCCUCAGCUACUCGAGCUUCAACCUUUGGUUGUUGAAAUUGACUCUGCCUUGACUUGGUUUUAUUUUUGCAAACCCUUUCAACAUGGCCUUUCUUCUUGCAGUGUUGGCAUACUGCAUCUGGCCUGAACCAGCAUCUGUCUUCUGGAUGACCUGGCCUCUUGCAAUGUCUGCAGGGCUGGUCAUUGCUCCUUGCAGUAUCAGGCUUAGGCCUGCUUUUCCAAGGCUUUUUACCUCUUGGAGCAUUGAUGCUCGAGGCUUCUCUGGCCUUGGCAUUGAAUGCACCUUCCUGGUGGUCUUCAGCUCUGCUAGCUCUCCUUUGUUCCUGAGCAUAGAAAGUGUUGAUUAGCUCAGUCAAAGAGAUGGUAGCAAGGUCUCUUGAGUCCUCAAGAGAGGAUAUCUUGGCCUCAUAUCUCUCAGGCAAAGUGGAGAGAACUUUCUCUACUAUCCUUGCCUCAUCAAAGUGCUCACCAAGGAGCCUUAUACUGUUAACCACUGCCAUGAUUCUAUCUGCAUACUGCUUCACUGUUUCUUCUUCCUUCAUCUUCAGGUUCUCAAAAUCCCUUCUCAAAUUCAAUAGCUGUUGUUGCCUUGUUCUCUCAGUGCCUUGAAACUCCUCCUUAAGCUUAUCCCAUGCCUGUUUUGGAGUCUCACAGGCCAUAAUUCUGGUGAAGAUGACAUUUGACACACAAUUCUGAAUGCAGGACAUGGCUUUGUGCCUUUUGGUCCUCUCAUCAGCAUGUUGCCUAAUCUGAGCUACUGUGGGAUUGGCCCUCAGUGGUGCUGGCUCAGCAUCUGUGUUGACAACUUCCCACAGAUCAAAGGCCUGUAGGUAAGUCUUCAUCUUGACCAGCCAUAUGUGAAAGCCUUCUCCAUUGAAGACUAGUGGGGCUGCUGGUGAAAAACUUGAGGAAGACAUUCAGCUUUCUUAGUUUGAUAAAACAGGUCCACUAAGAAUGAAGCUCUAGAUACCAAUUGUUGGUGCAAAUAGACAACAACAGACUGUUUUCAAUCUUGCUUGUAUAGCAAGCCUCGAGCCUUGCUGAAGAAACAAACUCAGAAGCAAGAACAGAAACACAUGCGAAUGAAAAACAAAAGAAAUUGAGAGAGAGAGUAUUUUGAAUGAAAAGAGCUGAUAUUUCAUUAACAAAUCCAGAAGGCAUAAUGCCAUUACAUAUAAUAGAUAACAACAACAAAAUGAACAAGUCUUUACCUAAUGACAUACCUAACACCACUAAAUUUACAUUGGAAAUUGUUAAUCAGCUUGCUUAAGUUUCUUUGCUGAUUUUUUCAGUCAAUCAAUCAACAAAAAACAUCAUAAGGUUUACCAACUUAGUUCAACAUGAACUAGAUUACAAAAUAAUAAUUAAAAAUACAAUCAAAACAUAACAAGUAGUUAGGCAACUUUAAGCUCCAGUUUCUGCACUUCAUAGCUCGACUGCUUGCUGCCACUUCUCCUUGCAUGGCCACCUUUGCAUGUCUUGCAUGGGAACUAAAUUCAACAAAACUCCUUCUGCCACUCGAAACAAUGACCAUUCCAAACAUUUUGAUAGACAAUACACAAUUUGCUUCACUACUUACUCACAUAGCCAAAAAAUAUCCAAUGAAACUGGCAAAGGGUUCUUCCAAAAUGGUACAUUAGCUGCCAAAAAGACAACCACCAUAUAUUCCUUCAUUCAGUAAACAGCUUCAAUAUGGAAAUAAGUUAUUAUCUUAAAAAUGCUUUUUCUACCACAGAAGAAUAAGAACUAGGCAUCUCAGAAAAUUUGCUAAAUUAAUGACUUUGCUCCCUUCAAAAUAAACAAAUGAUUAACUGCAUUAUCCCAAAGAGGUCACCAUCAACCUCCAGUUGAACUUUCAAGGAAUAAUAAUAAAAAAUAGAAGGAAAUAAGGGGGAAAAAACCCAACCAGAACUCAGUAAUAGCUGAGCCUUGAAGAUCUGUAGGUAGUAAGAGAAAAACCCCAUGACGACUAAAGUCCAGGCUUGAAAGAACCAAAAGGGAGCAACAUAUGACUAUGAUUCACUGGACCAAGAGAAUCACCAAUGAAUAAAGGAAAAAGGGUACUUUCCUUUAUACCUAAACAUACAAUAUUUAGCCUCAAAAUGGGAAAAUUUCAGGUUUUCACAAAGGGUUUAAGAAAGAGGGUGAAAGUUAAAGAACUUGUCUUUGUUUUGAUGUGUGGUACACGAGAUAGUGAAGGAAAAUAGAGGUGAGGAAAUAAGAUGGAGUAAGUGCCUAAGUGGUGAAAAAGGAGAGCCUAAAAGAGACAUUUUUGAAGGGUAGUUUAGAAGCUGCAGAGGCUUUGGCAUACAGCAGCUGAUAAUGAGAGAAGACAAACCAGAAAUGUAAGUACGACGACGAUAAAAAUUAAAAAAUUUUAAGAAUUAAUGAAAUAAAAUUUUGUAGCUUAGCGAAUUGGGACGAAGUCCACCAGUGUGAUGCCCAUAGAUCCAUACCUGGGAUUUUUCUAUUUGGGCUAACUUUCUAACUUCUCCCACCAGUCUUAAAACUUUGCAGAUUUUUUCAAUUUGAUCUGGAUUGUAUGAUAACAUAUCACUUUGAGAUUGGAAAAAAAAUUAUUUUUUUUAAAUUAGAGAAAAAAUAAAGAAACUAAAUUUCAAGCAUGCAAAGUACAAAAGAAAGAACUGUAUUAAUAAAAGAUGAGUUACUUCACUCAGAUUGGAGUACCCUUUAAACAAGUUUAUUCUUGUAGAGAAAGAAACUGGAUUUUGAUUUCAUUUGCUGUGGCAAAAUUUUUAAUUUCAACAACAGUAUAACAUAUUGAAAGCCUGCCUACAUCUCGGCAGAAAAAUUUACAAAUUCUUUCAUCAGACAAUUUAAAUGAUGCAAUGCAAAGAUUCAUCAAUGUAUGAUCUUUUUAUCAUAAAUGGCUGUUUUACUGGAAAACUUGAUAUGUACUGUCUUUCACAUUCUUUUGUGCUGAAUGGUCUCUGAAAACUGCAAUCAUCAACUAUAGAUAACCCAUUCCUCAGCGCCGCCAGAGCCGACCUUGUUGUUUCUGUUCUUGAACUUGCCUGUGUCAUCAAAGGCAGUGAGCAUUUAUCAAUGUUAUAAAAAUGGCAUAUCGAAGUCAGAUUUUACUUGACAAUACACAAAUGUAAGAAGAUAAUUCACCUUUGAUACUCUUUAGAACGCUCGAGAAACUCUUUCGCGAUGUCUUUUCUUUAAUAUGAUUGCAAUACUUGUCUGAUAUCAGCCGGACCAUUGUGUUAGUACAAAACUCCGGUAAGGAAAAAAACUCGAACACACGAUCGGAACUCGAAAAGAAAAAGAAGAAAUAGGACAGGCUCCAAGGCGUGUAUCAAGCCACUAUCUUUAAGGUUAUAUUCGCCCCCACUUAUCUUCAGUGUGCAAACGAGUUCCAAGCAAAUUAACCUCGAGGAUACAAUGAAGCCAAUGACUAUUUGCGUUUUGCACUGACGAGAAUAGUCCACUAUACACUAAGUAAUGUAUAACAAAAACUCAAUUUCUACAAAGGAUUUCUGCAGCAAUACUUUAUAGAAUAAUCUAAUAAUAUUAGAAAAUGAAGGAAGAGAAGAAAUAAUAUUAGAAUUUGUUGAUAUGAUUUCCAAAUGAAAUCCCAUUCCUAUUUAUAGGAAUUUUCAUGUCUCUUCAUAGAGACAUCUUUCAAUAGGUGUCUUUAUGAAUAAAUAAAUAAUAAUAAUUAUUCAUUUAAUUUUGUAACUAUUCAAAUAAUAUUUUUUGAAUAGUUAUAAUUCUUUUUUAAAAAAUCAAAUGAUAUAACUUUUGACCAAUGACCAAAAGUUUUAUCUUUUGAUUAAUUACACCCAUUCAUUUAUAGUUAUUGGGAUACUAUAAAUAUUUGAAAAUAUUCCAACAAUCUCCCCCCAUUUUCAAAAUAUUUAGAUUUUGAUAUUCUUGGAAAUCAAUUUGCAUAAAUAAAGGUGUCUUACGAUUGAACCUUCACUUAGUGAAAACAUGUUAAAGUUAAUCGAAAUUGUAUGGUAGACUAAGCUUUGAACCAACUAUUCCAUUUGAUUAAUUGAACACAUCUCACACAAUGAUUUCAACAUCAGUCAAUGCAUAGUAUCUAGGGACACUAUUAUAGCCAUGUGUCUAUGUCCUCUUUUCAUGAGUGCUGUCAGAGCCAAGCCCUUAAGCUCCUAGAAGCGGCCACACUUCCACUCACAUAGGUAGAUCCCAUCAAAAGUGUUCCCGUAAUUAUAACACUCUAACAUAUUUAUGUUAUGGGUCCAUUAAGAGUAAAUUACUCAUCCUUCCCUUAUCAUUACGGGUACCUAGCACUUUAAUCUUAGGAUGGAUUUAUUUAUAGUGCUAACAGUCACAUACUAAUGAUGUACUUUGUCUCAUUGAACUCAAGACUUGACGUUAUACCAAGCAUUGAGUCGAGUUUCCAUCAUGGGUGACUCUAAUUAAUAGGCUUGAGUCCCAUCCCUUUUGAGGUCCUUUUUACUGCAUCUCUAGCAAGACUUUUUGUCAAAGGAUCUGCCAAAUUUUCACUUGACCUCACAUAAUUAAUAGUGAUCACUCCAUCAGAGAUUAAUUGUCGGACAUAACUAUGUCUUAAUCCAAUGUGUCUAGACUUUCCAUUAUAUACUUGGCUAUAUGCCUUUGCUAGAGUAGCCUCACUAUCACAACGGAUAGAAAUAGGUGAAAUUGGCUUAAGCCAUAAACGUACAUCAUAAAGCAAAUUUCUUAACCAUUCUGCUUCUUUAGAUGCAGCGGCUAAUGCAAUAAAUUCUGCUGCCAUGGUGGAAUCAGUAAUACAUGUUUGUUUCUUGGAACCCUAAGAAAUGACUCCUCCACCAAGAAUGAAGAUCCACCCACUAGUAGAUGCAUGAUCUUCCAAACUUGUAAUCCAACUAGCAUCCGAAUACCCUUCUAAAACUGGAGGAUAUCCAUUAUAACACAAUCCAUAGUUAAUAGUUUUCUUUAAGUACCUAAGUACUCUAUUUAAAGCUUGCCAAUGCAAACUACUUGGAUUAUUUGUGUAUCUACUCAAUUUUCCAAUAGCAUAUGCAAUAUCUGGUCUUGUACAAGUCAUUAUGUACAUAAGAAAACCAAUUGACUUGCAUAUUUCAAUUGAUCAAUUUUCCUACCAGCAUUAGAUACUAAUUUUAAUUGAGGAUCCAUGGGUGUAGAUACUGGUAUACAGUUGAAAAUAUCAAACUUUUUAAGCACAUUUUCAAUGUAAUGUGAUUGUGAUAAAGCUAUAGUGCUUUCAUCUCGGGUUAUUUUAAUCCCAAGAAUAACAUCUUCUACACCCAUAUCCUUCAUAGCAAAGUUGUUUGACAAGAAUUUCUUUGUGUUUUCUAUUUGUUCCAAAUCCGUGCCAAAAAUGAGCAUGUCAUCUACAUAUAAGCAAAUUAUAACACCCUUUCCAUUAUCAAAUUUACUAUAUAUGCACUUAUCGGAUUCAUUUAUUUAUAGCCAUUAGCUAAAACAACCUUGUCAAACUUUUGGUGCCAUUGUUUUGGUGCUUGUUUAAGCCCAUAUAAAGAUUUAACAAGCUUACAUACCUUAUGCUCUUGUCCUGGAACAACAAAUCCUUCCGGUUGCUCCAUGUACACUUCCUCUUCCAAUUCACCAUUUAAAAAUGCAGUUUUAACAUCCAUUUGGUGAACAACCAAAUUAUAUAUAGAGGUAAGUGAUAUUAAUAGUCUAAUUGUAGCAAUUCUUGCUACUGGAGCAUAGGUAUCAAAGUAAUCAAUACCUUGUCUUUGUGUAAAACCUUUUGCUACCAACCUUGCUUUAAAUUUAUCAAUGGUUCCAUCGACCUUCAUUUUCUUUUUGAAGAUCCAUUUACAACCUAUUGGUUUGGAACCUGGUGGAAGAUCAACUAAGAUCCAAGUUUGAUUUCCCAUUAUUGAAUCCAUUUCAUCAUUUAUUGCUUCUUUCCAAAAAGUAGAGUCUUGAGAUUUCACUGCUUCUUCAAAUGUAACAGGAUCAGAUUCGGUAUUAUAACAAUAAGGUAUCUUAUUGCAUAUACUUUCACCUUUUCCUUCUAUAAGAAACAUAAUGAAAUCUGGUCAAAAAUCUUUGACCUUUUUAAUCCUCUUACUUCUUCUUAAUUCUUGACAAGAUUCAUCAUUAUUAUCAAUUUGUUUCAAUGGAAUCUCAUUCUCAUUUGAAGAAUGAAUCAAUUGUUGUGGUUGUAAUUGUCUUGAUAUAGAAUUAAAUCUAUUUUCAUCAAAAAUAGCAUCUCUUGAUUCAAUAACCGUAUUAAUUGAAAUUGAAUCAUUUGGUUCAAUUACUAUGAACCUAUAUGCCUUGCUAUUAUGUGCAUAACCUAUAAAUAUGCAUUCAAUUCCUCUUUCACCUAACUUUUUACGUUUAGGUGUUGGAACUUUUACAAUAGCUCUACAACCCCAAACCUUUAAAUAAUUAAGGUUUGGUUUCCUUUUCUUCCAUUGUUCAUAGAGGGUUAUUUUAGUUUCCUUAUUAGGAACUCUAUUCAAUAUAUGACAAGCUGUUAGAACAGCUUCUCCCCAAAAACCCUGUCCAAGACCUGAAUAUGAUAACAUUGAAUUUACCAUUUCAAUCAAGACUCUAUUUUUCCUUUCAGCUACACCAUUUUGUUGUGGUGUGUAAGGGGCUGAAACUUGAUGGACAAUUCCAGUGAGUUCAAAAUAACUUGGAUUAUAGUAUUCUCCACCUCUAUCCGAUCUUAAGCACUUGAUAAAUGAUUCACACUGAAGUUCAACUUCAGAUUUAUAAACUUUAAAUUUAUCAAGCGCUUCAUCUUUUGAAUGCAAUAAAUAUACAUAACAAUAUCUAGAACAAUCAUCAAUAAAAGUAACAAAAUAUUUCUUUCCACCUAAUGUAGGAGUAUUAUGCAAGUCACAUAAAUCACUAUGUAUCAAAUCAAGCAAUUUUGUUUUCCUUUUAACCUUAGGGAAAGGAUUUCUUGUAAUUUUAGUCAACAUACAGGUAUUGCAUUUUUCAAUAUUAUUAUUAAAAACAGGAAUUAAAUCUAAUUUAUACAUGUCAUUCAAUUUUCUAUAAUUCAAAUGACCUAAUCUAUAAUGCCACAAACAAAAUGAUUCAACCAUAUAAGCAGAAAUAGUAUUUUUAUUCUUAUUAAUAAUAUUAAGUUUGAACAUGCUUUCAUACAUAUACCCUUUUUCCCACAAAAAUUCCUCCCUUAGACAAAAUAAACUUAUCUGCCUCAAAAACAAGUUUGAAACCAAACUUAUUCAACAGACUUCCAGACACUAAAUUUUUCCUAACUUCUGGUACAUAAUAUACAUCAUUUAAGGUUAAAACCUUUCCAGAAGUGAAUUGUAGUUCAACAGACCCUUUGCCUUUAAUUUGCGGUGGAAGAAUUUCCCAUGUACAAGACAUUGUCAUUUUCACAUUGUGUGACUUUGUGAACAUGCUUUUGUCUUUGCACACAUGUUUGGUUGCUCCGGUAUCAAUCCACCAUGUAUUAUCAUCUUGUACCAUAUUAAUUUCAGAUAUCAUUGCAACGAACUUUUCGUUAUUAUCAGCCUUAGAAGAUGAUUUCUUCUUUAAAAAUCGAUAUUCAUUCUUGAAAUGUCCCGGCUUUCCACAAUGAUAGCAUGAGCCCUUUUGUUUCUUUUUGAACUUAGGUGCUCUAUCAGCCUGAUUGAACUUUCUUUUGAAUGGUUUAGUAGUCUGUACUUCCUCCGUAACAUGUACUUUGGCAUUUUCAGAAUUUAGGUUCUGAUCUUGUUGUCGAUACUCUUCUUCAAUACGAAGAUGAUUUGCCAAAGCCUCAAGAGAUAUUUCCUCUUUCUUAUGUUUUAGACUUCUUUUAAAGUCUUUCCAAGAUGGAGGAAGUUUGUCUAUUAUAGAGGAUACCACAAUUAUUUCAUCCAUUUUCAUAUCAUAUUGCUUAAAUUGAUUCAACAUCUUUUCAAUAUCACGAAAUUGUUCCAUAACAGAACGACCAUCAACCAUUUGAUAAUUAUUGAAACGACUGACAAGAAAUUUCUUACUUGUAACAUCUUCGGUCAUGUAUCUUGCCUCCAAUUUGUCCCAUAAAUCUUUAGCGGUGACGUCGUUUUGGUAGGUGUCGAACAAACCAUCAGAUAAACCAUUCAAUAUGUGGCCCAUGCACAUGUAAUCAGCAUUGUCCCAUUUUUGUCUUUCUCGGGUUGCAGCAAUAGAUUCGUUUUCAUUCUCUUCAGGUCUUGGAGUAUCCAAAACAUAAGCAAUCUUCAAAGUUGAUAACAAAAAGUGCAUCUUUUUCUGCCAUCGUCGAAAAUUGCCACCAUCAAAACGAUCAAGUUUAACAAAGUUGGAAGCCAACUCCCUUAGUGUUCCACUUUCAUGUGUUGUGGUAGUCAUCAUGAAAUAUAACCUUAAAAUUGUUAGUACAAAACUCCGGUAAGGAAAAAAACUCGAACACACGAUCGGAACUCGAAAAGAAAAAGAAGAAAUAGGACAGGCUCCAAGGCAUGUAUCAAGCCACUAUCUUUAAGGUUAUAUUCGCCCCCACUUAUCUUCAGUGUGCAAACGAGUUCCAAGCAAAUUAACCUCGAGGAUACAAUGAAGCCAAUGACUAUUUGCGUUUUGUACUGACGAGAAUAGUCCACUAUGCACUGAGUAAUGUAUAACAAAAACUCAAUUUCUACAAAGGAUUUCUGCAGCAAUACUUUAUAGAAUAAUCUAAUAAUAUUAGAAAAUGAAGGAAGAGAAGAAAUAGUAUUAGAAUUUGUUGAUAUGAUUUCCAAAUGAAAUCCCAUUCCUAUUUAUAGGAAUUUUCAUGUCUCUUCAUAGAGACAUCUUUCAAUAGGUGUCUUUAUGAAUAAAUAAAUAAUAAUAAUUAUUCAUUUAAUUUUGUAACUAUUCAAAUAAUAUUUUUUGAAUAGUUAUAAUUCUUUUUUAAAAAAUCAAAUGAUAUAACUUUUGACCAAUGACCAAAAGUUUUAUCUUUUGAUUAAUUACACCCAUUCAUUUAUAGUUAUUGGGAUACUAUAAAUAUUUGAAAAUAUUCCAACACAUUGCGGGCUACAUCUGUGAACAAAUCAAAACAAAUGGUACUAUAAUCAACAAAUGAAUAUAGGAAACAUAAAAUUUGAACAAAGGCGAUGUGCAGAGGAAAAAGCAACAACAUAAGACUUACAUUCAAGAAAUGGAAUAAGGUCUAAAAGUGCGGUAUCAUCAGUCUCGACCUUAUAUGGCUUAAUAUGGACACAAUUUUCUGGUUGAAGGCUAGAAUCAAAUGCAUGAGCACUCACAUAUAAAAUCUUGGUUGGAUCCCUGUUUAGCUUUGAAAGAUCCUGCCAACAGGAACUAUUUGUUAACAAUAAGGCUUCUUUUUAAGUAGCAGCUUGUAAAGGCACUGUCUCAUAUAUUAAUUCACAUAGUAUUGUAGAAACUAAGGAGGAGAAAACCAAAAGCAAAAUGUUUUGAAGGGAAGAGAUUGACUAUGACAUGGUAAAAGUAUCAUGGAGGCCCCUAUGUUAGGAGUUAGAUUGCCUUUUGCCCCCUUUACUCAAAAACUGGAUAAAUUAGUCCCUAUAUGUUAGAUUAAAGAGUAAGCUAGACUUUCUGUUAAAAAUUUCAUCCAUUGCUACUGUUAAAAACUGGUGCAGUUGAUAAAAUAACCAAACAGUUACACAUAAUGUGUCACGUGUACCUCAUGCUAAUGUAUAUGGACCAAUUUUUAACAGUAGAAAUGGAUGGAACUUGUAACAGAAGGGCUGGUUUGCUUUUUAAUCUAAUUUACAGGGAUUAAUUUGCCCAUUUUUUUAGUAAAGGGGUGAAAUGCAAUAUGACUCCUAGUAUAAGGGCCUCCAUGGUACUUUUACCACUAUGACAUACUCUAUAAUGCUUGCCAUCCUGAUAUUUAGUAGCACCCCUUGAUAGCCUAUAUCGUAUACAAUGGUUAGUGUCCAACCUUUCACAAGCAGGAUCAACAUACCGCAUAGCCAAAAACAAAAUAAUUAUGAACUUGCAGGCAACAUCAGUUAUAGUAUAUCUGAAAAAGAUAAGGAAAAAAAACUGUUACUUUCAUAUCUAAUUUCUUUAUAGUAUUAGGACAAACUAAACAAUGGAUAUAUCACAUUAUUAAGACUUAGCUAAGGAGCCGCUGAUAUACAUUCAAAUGAUCAAUCAUAAAGGAUGAACUAGGAGGCCUAAUGAUAAAUCAAAAUUACACCUAAACCAGUUAUAUGUCUAAAGGCAAUUGCACAUUAUAUCAAUCAAACAACUAAAAUAAAUAGAGAAAAUCCUUUAAAAUAUUCAAUUUCUAAACAAAAUCAAACUCACAUCAAUAGCAGAUCUUGACAAAGAAACCCAAAAUCACAAAUGAUCCUAUCUUUUUAAAAGGGGAAAAAGAAAACUUACUAUAAGAGAGAUAACCAGCAUAGCCAGUAGUUCCAGUAACACCUGCAAUGAGUCCGUACUUGACAAAGCUCUAAAUUUUCCCUCCCGAAACCUGUGGGGCAACUUUCGGCGCCAGAGGAGGAGGUGUCGACUGAUCGGAGAGAAUGGAUUGUGAAGAACAAUCCAAACUUAAUUUACAAGCAAUGUGGAAAUUUUGGACGUUGCAGUAUUGACUACGUUUACUUGAGGGAAAACAAAGACAUGAAUGCUGGAAAUUUUAACUAGUUUGUACGGUCAAUGAAGCUACCUCGAAUGUUAAAUAUGUUACUCUGCAAUGCCAUUGUAAAUAUGACUGUUAAAUUUGUUGAUAGCGGAAUUGUUCCACUCAAGUUAUUGUGGGACAAAUCAAGAAUUUGAAGAAAAGUGACAUUGCAUGUUAAACAAGAGACCUCUCCAUUGAAACUAUUAUUUGAGAUCAGAAAGACAUUGAUUGUCGAAGCUGGAAUCGGAAGAUUUCCACGGAUCAAAUAGGAGCUUAAGUCAAGAACUACAAUAUUCUUCCAUGGAAAGUGCAAAACUUCUGUCAAAGAGUUGCUGUAAUUGGAUUAAUCUCAUCGUUGCUGCAAUCUUUUGACAAAUCGAAUCUUAAAUAUGUUACUCUGCAACGCUAUUGUAAAUGUUACUCUUAAAUAUUACUCUGUAACUAGAUUGAUGGCUCAAUCUUGUUUUUAACAUUGUUAUGGGUAUUACUACUUUCAUGCUUUGAUACGCGAUACCCUCUUUCUAGGUGACAUUUUUGCUCCUUCCGGGCCACCAUGGGCUCUCUGCAUCACUCACCAACCUCAUUAGAUUCCCCGGGUGCCAUUUGGCCAUCUCAAGUCUCAAAAUAGCAUCAAAAUGCACUCUAAUAAUUUAUUAAUAUAAAGAACUAAAACAAAAUAAAAACACAACAAAGAUAUCUAAAUUGCACGAAAAUAAGCUUUUAAGUGUGAUGGAGAGUCUAAUUUGACAUAUCAAUUAAUGUUUGACUAUCUCCAUCUCACUUUUUAUUAAUUAAGGAAUAUGAAUUAGAAUUAAUAUAAACUUACUAUUUUAACAUUUCAUAAGCAAAAGCUAAAAUAAUAUUGGUCACAUCCCAUAUCUUCAUAUAUAGCUUAUCAGACAAAAGUUAAAACAGCCUUCAGUUCAUCUACAUUCUACAUUCCACGUCGAAUCUGCAAGCAUCAAAUAUUAACCUUUGAACUCCAAAAUAACAACACCAAUUUCCAGCAAUUGCAGAAGAAUGUCCAAUAAUUCCACACAAAUUAACAACAAUUUGCCAGCAUCCACUACAUUCGUAUGAAUUCCACACAAAUUAAGACUGGAAACUCUAACUUGUUCAUACCCUCAAUGAAGCUACCUAAAAGUUAUGAAUUCCACUGCAAAUUUUGUAUUGCUUGGAAUGAAUUGACUGUAAUUUCCUAUUACUUGCCACAAAAUUUUCUUUUACUGCUAACUUGUAAAAAAAUUAUGAAAAUACAACAGAGAUCAUUGAGACAUUUUGUUCUCCUUUCUCCUUUACUGAGCAGUAGCAAAGAUUAUCGAGACUAAAUUGAAAGUCAUGAAAGAAGACAUAAACAACACCACCAUACAAAAUGUUACACUCAAACAAACCAUUACAGAUAGUACGAAAUGCAAUGAAAGACACAGGAAUUGGUACAACAAUAAAGACAGACACAUACCAAUGCAACCCUUCACCAUAGGCAAAACGGUCUACAGAAUAAGAAAUUAUGAAAAUACAACACUAAUUCUUGAACAUCAUUUCCAGUAAUUAGAUCCUUCUUCGUCUAUUGCUUCGAUUGCCUUUCUUUGACUUUCUUCUUCGCCUCAUCUCUUGUUGGUUUUCAACCAAAUUCACCAACCAUUUCGGCUUACCAAUUUGGAAAACAACAUAUCCCACGGACAUUCCGAACACCACUCUGCAUCCAUAACCUAUCAACACCACUUUCCAACCAAAAGCAAUGUUUGAUUUUGAGCCAUCUUUUUCAAGCGCAUUUGGAGGUGCUGGCUCAAUGAUGUUGCAACCUUUCGAGACCGGAAACCCACACAGUCCAUUAUUCCCUUCAUAUGAAUCAUUUCCAAAUGUGUUGAAUUGUUUUCCUUGAGGAAUCUGACCAUGGAGUUGAUUUUCAGCGACAUUGAAGGACGAAAGAAAUGGCAGAUCUGCCAAUCUAUUUGGAAUCGUCCCAGACAACCUGUUUGAAGAUAGGUCCAACCAUUCAAUACUUGUCAAAUUCCCUAUUGAUGUGGGAUACCACCAUUAAGGUUAUUAUGAGAAAGGUUGAGCCCUUUCAGUAAGUUAAGCUUCCCAAAAACCUUUGGAAUACCCCCUUCAAACUGAUUGUUUGAUAGAUCAAUGAUCAUCCACAUGGUGAAAAUUUUCACCAAUUCCAUAUAUUGUCCUUUCAUAACAGUUCCGAUGGAAUAGGUAUAGAAGCCAUUACCUCUCGGAACAUACAUCCCCAUGUACGACAUUGUACUCCCAAUCUUCUCUAGAUUUAUGAUACCCUUGAAGCUGUUGAUGUAUCUCACUGGUAGGGGUCCAGAAAAAUAAUUACUUGAGAGAAAAAAAAUUUGGAUUUUAGAGAAAAAAGGGCUAGACUUGGAGCUAUUGUCACAUAAGGAACCAUGCAUAUGAUUUGACUUCAAUACAAGAACUUGUAGCUGUGGAAGACUUCCCAACCAAUGAGGAAAUGUAUCAUUGAUCUUGUUCUUCUUCAGAUUCAAGAAUUGAAGGCUGUAGCUCAAAUUUUCAAAACAUUGCGGAAUUGUUCCGCUCAAGUUAUUGUGGGACAAAUCACGAAUUUGAAGAAAAGUGACAUUGCAUAUUAAAGAAGAGACCUCUCCAUUGAAACUAUUAUUUGAGAUCAGAAAGACAUUGAUCGUCGAAGCUGGAAUGGGAAGAUUUCCACGGAUCAAAUUGGAGCUUAAGUCAAGAACUGCAAUAUUCUUCCAUGGAAAGUGCUCAACUUCUGUCAAAGAGUUGUGAGAUACAUUUAAGUCAAAGAGCCAUUGCCCACCUCUUGCAUCCACUGUGGAAUCUUGCCUUCAAUUUUGUUGCAAGAGAGGUCCAAGCUUUCCAAACUUUUAAGCCCUUAUAAAAACUGGGGGAAUUCACUAAGAUUGAAAGAUGACAAACGUAAGUCUAUAAGAUUAGACAAUAUAUGGUUAACACAAGAAGUAGUAUUAAAUGUUAAGGAUAGGCUGUUAUAUGAAAGGUCGAGAAGUUUUAGAGUUGGAAGGUUUGAGAACAUGCGAAACUCUAUGACACCACUAAGAUUAUUUGAGGAUAAAAGGAGGUGGGUAAGAUUGAGAAGUUGGAAUAUUGAAGAUGGAAGAGGACCUUGGAGUUUAUUAUUGUUUAACCUUAUCAAUUCUAGUGUUUUGGAUUGGAAUUCUUUGAUAUGCCCACUGAAUUGUUUUUAGAGAGAUCUAUUGUUUAACCACGUUAUUUUUCAGUGACGGAUCGAGAAAUAAAACUUAGGGGGAGCAGGGGCGAAGUUAGAAAAUUAGUUUGGGGUAAUCGAAAUUAAAUUAUAUAUUUUUAUGAUAGUAAAAAUAGAAUUUCGUCAUUUUAAUAGCCUAUAUCUUUAUAAUUUUUAGAGGAUUAAAUUAAUUUUUUAUCAUUUGAGGGGGGCAAAGUGCAAUUUUACCGUUAUUAAUUUAAAAUUUUAUAAAUUAUAAAUGGCCUAAAUUUUAAAAAAAAAAUCAUUUUAGGGGGUUGAGACCCUGUCAGCCCUCUCCCUAGACCCACCCCUAGUCUUUUUGAUACAAUUUGGCAGUUUAAGUACUUAAUUAGUGCAAAAAAAAAAAAACUAGGGGCUCAAUAGCUUUUUUUUGAAAAAGUUUGAGAGCCUUUUUGAUCCAUUUUGGCAGUUCAAAUGCCCAAUUCAGUGCAAGAAAAGAAGUAGGGGCUUAAUUAUUUUUUUUUAAAAAAAGUUUGAGAGCCUUUUUACACCAUUGAACCUUUUUUAUACUAAUUGGUAGACGCGAAGUUAUAAAUAUUUAAUUGUUAAUGUAAUUUUUAGAAUUUCUAAAGAAUAAUAAUAUUUAAAAUCUUAUAAUUUUUUUUAUUUCAUGUGCAUAAAAAACUUAAAUAAAUAAGUGUUUAGAUUUAGAUUAAUCACGCUGUCCAUUUAUUCAUAUUCAUUCUAGAGGUAUAACUUUUAGUUAUUUUAUAUGUUUUUAUAAUUAAAAAUAAUGGUAUAAAAGUCGAUUAAGUUUUAGCUCAAUUGACAUAGACAUUGUUGUUGAGGAGGACCUAUUGGUAGUUCUAGGCAUUGUGUCAAAAUGAACUAUAUUUGAUAAGAACCUAUAAUGAAAUUAAUGUUAAAAAAAUAAUAGUAUAAAAAGCUAAUAUUUUUAUAAAAGUUUCAUUUUUUUUUCAGUUUUUGGAUUUUUCUCAUAUAAAAUUUUAGAAUUGUUUCUUGAAUUUUUAUAGCUUUUCUUAUUAUGAUGUUAUAUAAUUUUAGAUUUUUAUACAUCUUUAAUAUUUUUUUAGUUUUUUAUUGUUUCUCAAAUAAUGCUUGGUUGAUGUAGCUUGCCAAGUGGUAUCGUGUUAUUGGCUGUCAAUUUCAAUAAUAAAAAAAUUUGGAGUUGAUUAGUUAUGAACUAACUCGAUUAAUCAAUUCUAAAUUUAAGUACUAAUUAAGUCCAAAAAAAGUUCAAAUUUCAAUUCAUGCAAGUUGGAUGGCAAUGAAACGGGAUUGGGGUGCGAAUAUUGUCAAAUUCACUAUUGUUUCAUAGUUGAUGUGUUUUGUCCCAUCACUCACCCCCGCUCCACUAUGGAUGUUUAAUUUUGAAAACCACUCACCCCAUGGAUGUUGGAUGCAUCCAUCCCUGCUUCACGUCGUGCCAUUUCAAUUUAAUUUUUAUUAGUUUUUUUAAAAAUAUUUUCAAUUUUUUUUUAAUUUUAAAAUAUUUUCAAUCUUUUUAAAACUUAUAAAUAUUUAAACAUAAUUAUUCAAGAAAAACAUUUAAACAUAAAACAUAUGAGUUUUUUAUAACAUAUUUUUACCCUUUAAUAGUUAUAAAUAUACAAGGGUCGAAUAGUAAUUUCAAAUAGUGAAAUAGAGUGGAUUGGGACAAACAAUUACCAUAACUGCUACACUUAAUCAUCGUAAAAAAAAAAAAAAAAAAUCUAUUUCAUCCCCGCCCAUAUUCCCUUUUAAAAGGAUCUACUCUAAAUGAAACAAACCAAUUCAAAAUCCAUUUAACAUCCUAAAUUCUAAAACUAAUUUUGAUAUGAAGUCUCAAUUAAAUUCAAGUAAUAAGGUUUUUUGAUAUGGUUUACACUACUAACUUCUAUAUGAAAACAACAACCAUUUCCCAUGAUGUUUGCGGCUUACCAACAAAUCCUUGCAGAUUUUCAACGUAGAAGAAAAUCAUGAAAAUAAAAAAAAAAAAAAAAAAAAAACUCUGGUUGGGAUUUGUUUCAUAUGGAAAACAGAAAACAAAACUUAAGUUAGUCAAAAUUACCAACUCACUGCUGACAACAUUUUUGUUGUAACCAAACAUUUGGAAGAAAAUAAACACAAGAGCACGCCGUUGACCUGUAUUUCUUUUAUUCUUCAAUUCUAUUUCAUCUUUAAGCUGUAACCAAUGAUAAUCAAAUCUUGACUUGCAUAAAAACCAAAGAAAACAAAAUGAAUGCAGCAGAAUUUUCUACCACAAAUGAGUAGUAAUUUACAGAUAAUAAAAUUAUCGAAAAACUAUUGAGAGUCGAAUUUCAUAUUAAUUGUGGUAUCCAUGAACUAGAAUGUAUUAAAAAAAGAAGGAUAUUGACCUUGAGACUACUUGCAAUUUUCAAAAACACUCUCAAUUCCUCUCCCCCUCUUCGGGCACCGGCCCAAGAUCCUGCCAUUGGCUACCACGCCGGCCGCUAGUCGCCAGCGCCGGCGCCGUGCAUGGAGGAGGAGAGUCCAAAAAUAUCCUUUUUUUUUUCUCACAUGCAGAUCCUCGGCCUCCAAACACUCCGACGACGGCUACAAAGGUAAAAAGGCCUCUCAUUUUUUAUUUUUAUAAUGCUUCAAAAUAAAAAAAUAAAAAAAAGGGAAAAAAUCACCUUUAAAAAAAACUGAUUCCUGUUUUUUAUUUCUCUUUGUUUUUUUUUUUCCAAAAGAGAACUCCCUUAAUUUUUCAUCUUUUUUAGCCCUUAAACCUACGUUGUUUAUCAAUAACCUUAAACUUACAUUGUUUACCGGAUGAAAAAUUUAAUAUUUAUUAACUUUGCUAAGGUGCACAUAUGCAAUUUAUUUAAAUCUAAAAACUAUAAAAUAUCUUAAAAUUAAAACUAAAAGUUUUUAAACUACUUGAUUGCUCCUUUCUCCUUUACUGAGCAGUAGCAAAGAUAAUCGAGACUAAAUUGAAAUCCAUGAAAGAAGACAUAAAACACCUCCAUACAAAGUGUCACACUCAAACAAACCAUUACAGAUAGUACGAAAUGCAAUGAAAGACAGAGGAAUUGCUACAAUAACAAAGACAGACACAUACCAAUGCAACCCUUCACCAUAGGCAAAACAAGAAAUUAUGAAAAUACAACACUAGUUCUUGAACAUCAUUUGCAGUAAUUAGAUCCUUCUUCGUCCACUGCUGCGAUUGCCUUUCUUUGACUUUCUUCUUCGCCUCUUCUCAUGUUGGUUUUCAACCAAAUUCACCAACCAUUUCGGCUUUCCAGUUUGGAAAACAACAUAUCCCACCAGCAUUCCGAACACUACUCCGCAUCCAUAACCUAUCAACACCACUUUCCAUUCAAAAGCAAUGUUUGAUUUUGAGCCAUCUUUUUCAAGCACAUUUGGAGGUGCUGGCUCAAUGAUGUUGCAACCUUUCGAGACCGGAAAUCCACAUAGUCCCUUAUUUCCUUCAUAUGAAUCAUUUCCAAAUGUGUUGAAUUGUUUUCCUUGAGGAAUCUGACCAUGGAGUUGAUUUUCAGAAACAUUUAAGGACGAAAGAAAUGACAGAUCUGCCAAUCUAUUUGGAAUCGUCCCAGACAACCUGUUUGAAGAUAGGUCCAACCAUUCAAGACUUGUCAAACUCCCUAUUGAGGAGGGGAUAUCACCAUUAAGGUUAUUAUGAGAAAGGUUGAGCCCUUUCAGUAAGUUAAGCUUCCCAAUAACCUUUGGAAUACCCCCUUCAGACUGAUUGUUUGAUAGAUCAAUGAUCAUCCACAUGGUGAAAAUUUUCACCAAUUCCCUAUCUUGUCCUUUCAUGACAAUUCCAAUGGAAUAGGUAUAGAAGCCACUACCUCGAGAAUCAUUCACCCCCAUGUACGACACCGUACU